RNAcentral lists this long non-coding RNA (52081 nucleotides) under Cucumis sativus (cucumber). Its description in RNAcentral is "long non-coding RNA (CSAT_LNC002092)". Lineage: Eukaryota; Viridiplantae; Streptophyta; Magnoliopsida; Cucurbitales; Cucurbitaceae. The record is from RNAcentral.
CCAUUUUUUUUGUUUAGCUGUAACCCUAAUUUGUACAUAGAAGAACUUACGAUCUUCAUUAAUUGAGCGUUGGGUGAACACACACUAUUUAGAACUCAUGUUAUUUUCUCAAGAAGCGAUUUGUUUCUAUGGACCUUCAUUUCGAUGUUUAUUGUGUUUGCAGUUUCAUUAUGAAACUCAUGCAUCAUUCCUAUCAUUUCUUUUCUUUGGUGAGGCCUUUUGUGCUUUCCUGUCUAAAUGCAUGUGCCAUAUUUCUGUUCUGUUCAGCAAAAUCGUCCAAUAAACUCCCAAAAUGCAGCCGAUUCAUUACAAAAGUUCAAUCUCAAGAAAACGGCGGUGCAAAAGGCACUGGAUUCCCUCGCCGACAGUGGACGGAUUUCAUUCAAGGAGUAUGGCAAGCAGAAGAUAUAUAUCGCUCGGCAAGACCAAUUUCAGAUCCCCAACAGCGAGGAACUCACUCAGAUGAAGGAAGCAAACGCCAAACUGCAGAAACAGCUAGGCGAGCACAAAAAGGCUAUUAGCCAGGUUGAGGAAGGUAAUGAUACUAGUAAAUUUCAAAGUAGCCCUCAAUAAUGUAAAUGUUAUGUAUCACUUGAGCCGUUUCAGUUUUGGUAUUUAAGUUUCGAGAAAUGAAAAUAAUAGUAUCCUGAUUUUUUGUAACAGAAAUUCGAACAUUGCAGUCAAACUUAACGCUGGAACAAAUGCGGGAAAAGGAAGCUAUGCUCAGAAUGGAGGUAGAUGGAUGCUAAAUCAGAUAGCUGUAACUUUAUUCUGAUCAGUGAUAUUGUUACCUUUUCUUUAUCUCUUGUUAAUGUCUCAAAAAGUAGCUUGUUUGAUAAAUGCUUGUCAGGUCAAGGAAUUGGAAGAGAAAUUAGAAGUAUUGCGCAGAGGUGUAACGUUGGUGAGCCCAGAAGACCGCAAAGCAAUUGAGCAGAUAUACUCUGAGAAAUUAAGCCAGUGGCGAAAGCGAAAAAGGAUGUUCAAAGAUAUAUGGGAUGCUAUCACUGAGAACUCAUCCAAGGAUUUAAAAGAAUUUAAGGUUCGUCAUUUUGCUUGUCCCCAUUUUUACCCAAGUUCUUCUUACUUACUUUUUUAUUUUUGCAGGAAGAACUUGGCAUUGAGUACGAUGAAGAUGUGGGCGUGAACUUGCAGUCAUUUAGCGAUAUGUUACCACAAAAUAGAAAGAGGCCCAGGGGUAAGUGAGUGAUACCAUAAACUGGGGCGUUCAACUAAAGUAAGUAAGAGCAGAAUUAUUUGCUUAUUACUUUUCUUUAUUCAAUCCGUUCGUAAAGGCAAAUACAUGUAGAUUCUGUCUGCCUAAAGCUUGGCUUUUGUAUCACGAAUACUUAUCAAGUUGCUUCCCGUUGAUUCAUCCCAAGUUGAAGGCACCAUUUAUUUACUAUACUGCUGAGUAAAGAAACUGCCGUCCUUGACUAUGUUUUUUUUUUACCGUAUACUAAUGUUUACGGUCGGUGAGGUACUUUCUUUCAAAUGAUUCUGAACUAAACUUAUAAUACUUUGCAAUAGAAGAGGUAAUGUUCUCUGCUGUUGAAUGAACUCAAGAAGAAAGUUUUAUUUCUUAUAUGCACUAUGUUGUACAGCCUUUAGCCUUUUAUGGGUACUCGAUAAGUUUUCAUUUCAGAGGAAAAUCAGGAAAUCAGUGUUCCAUGCCUUGGAUAGACGAGGAGGAAACUGAGAUUUUACAUCAUAGUACAAUAGAUUAUUUUACAUCAUAGUACAAUAUAUUACAAGUUACCAAAAUUGUACCAAUAUACCCCAGAGUUGAGAUGUCUAGAUGAAUCCCAAAGAGAAGAAUUUUACAAUAUCAUUUCAACAGACAAAAAAUUGAUAUUCAGUCAUGAGGGAAACCAAUUUAAAUAUUUGCACACUAUAUCAAGCUUAAGGUUCUUAAAAUAAACGAAUUCUACUUACAAAAUUUAUUAUCUUUAAACAGACGUCAAUCAAGAUACGAUAUGUUGAAGCUCCUCAGUGCCCACGGACAUCUAUUGUCCUUAUAACAGCCUCAUUCCCUAUGCUUGUAUUUUGUGCAGUAUCAUUGUUAUCAGAUUCCUCAUUGUUUGCUGUGAUCUCUGCAGACUCCGACUCCAUCUUCUCACAAGACACGAAGCUCAAAUUCUUUUCCUCAAGAGCCGAAUUGCUGCUUUCUCCAUUCGCAGCAUCAACAUCACUCUCGUCAAAAGUCAAAUCCUUCUCCAGCAGUUCGAUUAUAUUUAUUGCUUCAAUUGGAAUCUCAUUUUCCUUUAAACUAGCAUCCCCGGCUUCUGAACUAGAAGAAGACACUGGCUGCUUCAAUUCUAUUUCAUUUUCACUCUCCUCCACUUCUAUAGACGAACUUCCACCAUGUGUUUCCUUGUUCAUUUCUUUCUCAGUGUUCUUGGAUUCAAGAGUUUCAGUGGAUUUUCUUGGUUUUGGACUCAGAUUACUCAGGUCAUCAUGAUCAAGUGAUUUAGAUUGAGAGAGUUCAACUGCAGCUCUUGCAGCAGCUGCUGCAUAUGCAGCCGACUCGAAUGCUGCCUGAGCAGCAUCGGCCACAUCUUUGUACUUCUUUCUUCCUCUCAUCGAAUCAGCAUACCGAUUGUCCUUCUCUAUCUCUUCAGGUAAAAUCUGAAAAACACCCUCCUCUUUGGUUUCCUGCUGUGGUUGUUCCUUCGUCUCUUCUGCCAUAACCAUAACUUUCUCCUGCAUUGAAUUUAUAGGCAUUCAAUAACUCAAACUUGUAAUUGAUUACUACUUCCAAUCUCAUUAAUCACACACCAUACCUCAGUUGAAGCUUCGUAAGCCUCCAAAUCUUUCAAAGUAAUGCCAUGUUCAGAAGCAAUUUGUUUAAGUAACUUCAAUUUGAUCUCCAAGCUUGCUGACCUUGCCGACAGCUUCUGUACUAUCUGAAAACCCCCAAGAUGACCACAUCAUUCAGUGAAAACAGCGAGGGAACAUUAGCAUAAGAAUACAAGCACCAGUGCUUCAAGUGAAAUGAUAAGAACAAAUCAUAACAUAACAUACCAUUGGACCAACAGAACAAUUGUUGCGUAACUCAAUAGCACGAGCCGUAAACUCCUUCCCAAAACGAGUGGUGAUAACUGAACGAAUCUCUAUAAGCUCUGGGAAAUCCCCACAUCUUGAAGAUGCAAAAAUCAAACCUGAAAUUGCUUCCUUGAGUUCCUCUGGGCAUUCUCUACAUAUUUAGGAUCAAACCCAAAAUGAAAUCAUAAGUCAGUUCAAAAGGAAAAAGAGAAACCAAUGGUUGUAUACAAUUUACAUCUUCAUUUGCCAACCUCUCAUGUUCAAGUUGCUUGAUUCUUUCCAAUACAACCUCACAAUAACUCUCUAUUAUAGCAUACGCAUCCAACAGUUUCUGGUCCUUAAUAACUUGCUCCACCUGUCAAAAUCUUAGUAUUAGGGACAUUUUAAUGUUUCAUUUAUAUUUCCUGAUGUCCUGUCAAGCCCAUAAAGAUGUUGAAUUUCCUAAGCUUGGAGGUUAUUAAGUCCAAAUCCAAGCUUAAAACUUAAAAGUAUGAAACAAGAAAAACAGAUGAUCUUACACGAAAGAGGGCCCUCUCAUGGUGGCCAAGCUGGAGCAACUGAACUACAUCAGAACGAGCCUGGGAGGAUCUAACCUGGCGCUGGUUUGCAAGAACAGCGAGCCGUGAUAUGGCCAAAUUCACAAGAGCUUUGAACCUUGUGGUCUUAAAGCUUCUUCCCAGCAGUGCAUCAAGCUUCUUUCCCAUGACUCCAAUGUUUCUGAGAGAUCUUUGUUAAGAGAACUCCGACAACUUCUCCUUUCAUGGAGGGAAAGCCGCUUUAAAAUACAUAGCCACGUCAAUAGGUGAACUAUAAGAGUUUGCCACGUGGACGCCAGGUAGAAUUCAAAAAGAACAUAAAAGUAAAUAUACAGGUUUAGACUUUAGGGACUGGAAAAAAUCAAGUUUUUCUAAUUCAUCAUCUACCAAGUUGCCUUAUUUUGAAUUGGGUCUUUUCUAGAUGGUCCUUUAAAUCCCCUUUUUAUUUAAUACCAUAAAUUUCAAGAUUUGAGAUCUGAAAUUGGUGAAAAUAAAUAAAAUACCAAUUUCUUCUCUUAAUGAUCGACAAUUACAUUUAGAAUAGUCAACAAAUAUACAUAUAUUUUACAAAAAAGCAUCAGUUUCAGACGUGGACACUCAUGGACAAAAUUAAGACAUAAAAAGUCGUCUUAAUUACAAGUAGAAAUGAAACGUGUCUUAGGGGGGAAAGGGAAAGGCUUGACACGGUUUGCGUGUAAAAAACACAAAAAUCACAAUCAAUGUAAACAACGGGAAGAAGGGUCUUUAAAAUGAAUCAAUUUUCUUCGAGUUUUGGAUUUUCUUAUUUUUCCAUGAAAAUUGUCGAAGUCUGUAGUAAAGAUUGAAAAGAACGGAUGCUAUUAGAUUGUUGUGAUUACUAUUUACUAAUGAAAUAAAGGAAGAUGGAAGGAAUUUUCUCAUCAGAUUUUAUAAAGACAAGAAAACCAAUUGAACUUGUCCAAUAAGUUUCCGUACAUUACAAUAUAUCUAUUUUCCACAAUUCCUUGAUUACAACUUUAACACACACAGUGCGUAUCAGUCGCGAUGAAAGAAGAUUGUGUCUUGGUGGGUGGUGCAUGAAUUCACACAUCUCGGUUGGAAAAGCAAUGUCAAUUAAGGGUAAAAGGUUAUAAUAAUGAUACCAAACCCAUUGUUUGUUUCUAUUGACAGACUUGUGUCACUUUAUUUACUUUUUUGGUAAGAAGAGAUGAUUGGGUCAACUUUACCAAAUACCAACCGGUUUUUCUUGCUGUAAAUACAAAUCCAAUUAUGCAUGCUACUCUCUUUCUCAACGGCCAAUAUAGCAAUUUCAAGGAUAUUGCUUCUUGGUUUGGAACUUGCCAAAUACAAUUAUACUCUGUCUCCUGAUUUUGCCGUUGAAAUGAAAUUUCAUAACUUUUGCUGUUACCAAAAAUUACUCUUUUAGUAUUUGCUAUGUAAAAUAAAUUGGAUACAUUUUAAAUAGCUUGUGGGUUUGAGGGAAACGUUUAAACUAAAAUGGAUAAACUUUCAAGCAACGAUUAUUUUCUCUUCUUUUAUGCCUAGACCGUGACUUUAGAGUGGUUUGACAUCAUUUUUCUAAAGAAACUUGCAAUAAUUAUUGAAUUGAAUAGUUAAAACAUCCCAAACCAGACUUUUAUUUAUAUUACAAAUUUUCUUGUAUAUGUAUAAUGUCAUUGUUGAAGGCAAAAUCCGUAAUCUCCAAAACGUUAAAUAUUAACAUACACUAUUUCUUACGUGGAGUAAUAAAGAAGAGGAUGGGGGAAGAACUUGACAGAAACCAUGAAAAUGAAAGCUGCGAAAUAUUUCCAACGACUAACAAAGGCAAGGAAUAUCAUGGGGACCCGUAGCAUUAAUGACGAAGGGAAAUCCAUUACAUAGACUUUCUCAUCAAGUAAACAGCGGCAAAGCGCAGGAAUUAAAUUGCGUUGUAACCACUAAAUGAUCGAAUAUAUUUCUUACUCUUCAUACAUAGCCAUCUCAUUGGCAUAGCCUAAAUCCUGUCCAAUUUAUGGUAAAGAAAUGAUUGGAUCUAAAUACCUAUACAAUGAGGUAAGACCACCAUUUACAGACCUUUGAAUACGUAUGAUUUGAAGAUUUGUCUAGAAAGCCUCAACGACUAAUAGGCAACGCAAUUAAUCAACAAAUUUAAGCUGUAUGGAACAUGAUGAUGAGAUAUUAUCCUGGAAUUCGAGGAUGUUAGAUUAGCAAACUGUUUUACUUAAACCAUUCAGCCAACUUUCUAAGCCCAUUCAGCAUUCCACAGGUUUGGACUAAUACAACUUCGUACAUUCAUAUAACAGGGGUUUAGUACAACAUCGUCUAAUAUGAAGAUCGUCGACAAUUCUGAUUAACAGAAGGCUAAUUAGAAGAAUCAUGGGGAAAAUUGAAUCAGCAUCUUGCUUCCGGUAAUAUUACUUUUACGGGGCAAUGCUUCUGAUUCCAGAGAUGAAAUUGUUGUUAAAUGUACAGCUUUGAGCAACAGAACAAAACAUAAAGGCACCUGUCCUCAAUCCAAGGUUACAGUUAAUCAGCACUAAACUACGAACAUGUGAGCAUGGGUCAUGUUUGGAUUGAUUUCCUAUGUGAUCCAAAUAUACUUCUUUCCAAAAACAAGCUCAAAAUGAAAGAUGGACAACAUAAAGGAACAAUGACUUGGGUUAAGGCUUCAGGCUGCCAUUACAAAUAAAGAAAAGAAAACUCUUGAUGAAAAGAAAUACAGUAACAGAAACAGAUUGGCCUGUAUAGAACUGACAUUAAUCACAUAGGAAGCUAGUUAGCGUGCACUCAUCUCAAAUGCAGUCAUAAUAAGUGUCCACAAUAUUAGUAUAACAAGUAUCUAGAAGAUGGAAAAAAACAGAACAAAAGAUUCAAUUCACGUAAAUGCUCAUCAUAUGAAGUGGAGAACUUGAGAAUAGUUACUACUGAAAUGAAAAUGGUAAUACAUUAGCUAAGUCAGAUGAGCAAAUACAACCUGACGAAGUUCAGGUGAUCAUCUGGUGAACUAUGUUUAGACCAAUCUUCAACGUGAAGCUCUAGAUCAUUUAUAAGAAAAAAAUUUGGAACCAAAUAUGAUUAUGCAAUUAGACUUGAUGGGAAGAAAACACGGCAAACAAAUGUGAAAAAGAAAAACAUAACAAUAUCUUUCUGCUAAUAAACCCGAAAUACAGGAAGACCUGCAUCAUAAGGCAUGAAGAGCAAUAACGACAGGAUGCCAUGUGCAAAAUGUGACAACCAGUACCAUAACCAAGAUGCAACAGAACAGUAGAUCAAACUACACUUCCAAUGUGUCAUUACAAACUUGAACUCAUGAUGAGAAUCUGACAGAAUGACAUAAGAAUAAAAUUUUAAUGGGCAGUUACAGAUGUAUCAUAGUAUGAGCAUCAAAAAGUCGAUUCCAUGUCGAUGCCUGUACAUCCAGACAGGCAUUUUUCUGAAACCAUGAAGUAUCUAAACUGUAUGUCUCAAAGUACCAAUAGUGGUGGGGGUGUAAAAAAAACCACCACCAGUUUUUUCAGGAAUUCACUUGUGGAGAAACAAUUAAACAAAACAGGGUAAUGGAGAAUAGAAAUAUAUGCCCAUGUUCAUUCAGUAUCUCUUUAGAAUUACAAGGGUAUAGAAAAACAGUAUCAUAAGAGCCACAGAUGAGAUCUAAAUAAGUAACCUUGAAUAAAGUGCUACAUAACUGAACCAAACAGAGAAAUGAACUGGAUAUUAAACUUUCAAAGCCUAUAUAUGAAAGAUGUGAGCACCUAAUAGAAAGACUCUCCAGCAACAAAACAGGGAACUUUUGACUGUUCAUAACUAAUAAAUCCCUCACAACCAAAUGCUUCAAAACACAUAAACAAAAGAUACUCACAAGGUCAUUUGAUUUUCGAUCUACUCUUUUGUUCCAAACUGUGGAAUCAUCUAGAAAUAACUUGCUCAUAGGCUUUCUUCUAAAGUCUUACUUCUAAAUCUGCCCCUGCCCUAACUCCCAAACUUGAAUUUUAUAAAGUCUAAUUAUAUCCAAGUUAUAUUUCAUUCAAUAUAUUUUAUAAGCUUCAUUCACUAUUGUCUACUGAGUUUUAAAUAAUAAUAACAUAAUUCAAACACUACAUCUCAAGUAUAAGCUAAACUUCUAAGCACUUCGACACUAGAACUUAAGGUUAAAGGUACUAAUGAUCCUAUCAGGCAUUUUCUGGAUAAGUAACAACAAUCCUGCCACUGCAACACUAGAACUUCAGAUUCCUAGAAUCCUAGUACCUUUCCAUCUCACCUCAAGAAGGAUUGGAGAAGGCUUUUGGGUUAAUUGCCAACGCUCAUCCUCCUUUUGUAUUCAUGCAUCUCUAGUCAAAAGUUUAUUUAUUCAACAGUUAUACAUAUAGUUCACUAUUUUCCACACAUCUUAUUCUUAAUAAAGAUAGAGACCAUCUCUGUGAUAUGACGGAAGAAAUUUAACUGAAAUUUUAAAUAGUUAUAACCUUUCAAUGAUAAAGGUAAACCUUAAGUAUGUCAGACUUCUUAUUACCAUAUUAGAUCUUCUAUUUAUUUCAUAUUCAUGCAACGCUUUUUGGUUCAAGAGCUCUGGAAAUUGAAUGCUUUCAUUUAUCAGAAAAAAUUUUAUGCUUACAUUUACUAUAUCCUGGAAAGAGAAAGAAAACCGGACUAUUAUCCUUGAUAUUUGUAGUACUUAGCAUCAUUGCAUUCUUUCUAAGAAAUAUACCGAAGAAUAUAACCUUGAAAUAGUUGUAUGGAAAUGGAUACUUACAAGAGAAUGGGGAUGAUAUGCAGUUCACCCUAAAAAAAGAGAACAAAAUCUUAAUAAGAUAAUGAAGCUUUUAAAAGUAAACUUAUAGGCUCUAAUCUCACAUAUAUUUAACGGAAAAAAAAAUACAAAAAAAAACCAAAACGAUACAAGAAAUCAUACUAAUAGCUUUACUCACUGAAAUACUAACUUCACAUGGUGCCACAGCGGUUAACCUCUCCAAUGCAAGUGCCUCCAUAAACGACUAUAUCAUGGACCAGCACAAUCCAAUCGUUAGGUAUUAUUCAAACUGAAGACGCCAAAUAAAUUUCGAGGACUACAAUAGUUUAAGACAAUAUCAAUACUGCCAAGCAACAUUUAAAAGAUACUACAAUCAAUAGUUCAAAAUGUUCCCAAAUAUAUAACAAUAGCAUGUGCAUAAAUAGACUAUUAUUCAUGGACUAAUAUAAGAGGUGACAAAUAAAAGUUCUUGUGGUACAUUCCCAUAUCGAUUGCUAGCACAUCCUUGUUCCAAACCACCCCACAAUGUGAGGUGGUAAGUGUUGCAUGAUAAAAUAAACAUGGUCAUAAAAACAUAUGCAUCUGUUCCCUGAGAAAAAUAAACUAGGCGGACAUAUAUAUACUAUCAACGCUGUCGCAAUUUGCUCCCAAUAAAACAAACCAAGGUACCUUCUCCUGAGUGCCUCUAAAUCAUUUAAGCACAGGAAGGUUCUCUCAGAGCAGAAGCAGGCAUCCUGAAGGAAAAACUAUAUUAGACACUUAAGAACCUGAAAGCAAGAAACAAAAUGGCUCGAGAGAAAGAGGUGGGAAGAGAGAGGACAGUAGAAGAUAAAAUCUUGCCAGCCUCCAUAUUAGAGUAAGGAAAAUUAUAAAGUAAUUGUAUAAAAAACCAAAAUAAAAAUGAAGCACUGAAUAUAAACAACAAACCAUCUUCGAAAAAAAAGAAAAAAUAAAUUUUAUUUAACAAAGCACUAAAACUAAUUGGAUUUUUUUGUUCUUACUAAUUUCCUUGCAAGCACAACUGCUGAAAUGUUGUUUGAAGUACAAAAUAAAAGAAAUAAUACGGAAAGCAAGUAUGAACAAAAUUUCAUAAUGGCCACUAUCAAGAAUGAUUACAAGAGGAAGAAACGCUUUCAGCAAGUUGUCUUACAAUAGAAACAGUACAUUUGAUUGAAAGAACCCGCCACUCCUGACCAAUAUGACCCCUUCUGAAUUCAAUCAUCCCAUAAUUGUGCCAGAAGCUUAGGUCAUCAUAAAGAAGACUGGCAAUACCAAGUGAUUAGAAACUGUAUGAAUUAGGUCAUAAUUUACAAGAAAUCUACUAAACUCCGGAGUCAUAAAGGCAGCAACAUUGAUCACUUGCCAGUGAUGAAUGGAUGAUUCAAUGCUUGUGAUACCGUCAUCCUUUUUUCUGGAUCCAACACAAAAAUUUUGUCUAGAAGAUCCUUAAAAUUGGCUAACAUCUUUGGAUCUUCACAAGGAGAUCCCCUAAUAAUUGACCCAAUAUCUUUAGGCUUUAUAUUGACUAUUAUUCGCUUUAUGGUCUGCAAAAGUAGAAUUCAAAUCUCAGUCAGUGUUGAUUCAGCUGCCAUAGAUAGUGGCAUAUUCAAAAUGCAAUACCAUUCACACACAGCAGCAUUUUAAAAUUCUUUAACCAACGAUAUUUGCUUAGCUUAAAAAAUCUUAUGUGUCCAGAAAAUUUAAGUAAAUUGUAAUCAUAUGUGCCAUCAAAUUUUCAGUAAGAUUUUGGUGACACAACAACCCAAACAAGCUAAUGGCUUACGUCCCCGGAAGCAGGAAAAGGGAUAAUAAUUACCUUUUUGGUUACAGGAUCCUCCUCAGAAGCAUGGAAGUUCAAGUCCUGGUCAAAAUGUUGGUCAGUAAAUGCUCCCUGUAAAGAUCAAUAAGAGGGGAAAAAACAUCAGUAGCAAGAAACAUAUAACUCGUAAUUCAGAUACAUUGAUAUUAAACAAAAAUCCUGUCCGGUAGACAAAUCUAUGUACCUUACGAAGCAUCUUCUUUGGAAAAGGGCCCUUUAAUUCCAUGUGUAGGCGAAGCAUGUCAUUAUUAGAAGGACCUGGAAAAAGAACUUUCCCUGUAGAGAGCUCGUACAGACAGCAACCCACCGACCAGAUAUCCAUUGGAUGAUCAUAUGACAGCCCUAAAACUGCAUCAUGCCAAAACAAAACCGGUGAAGCAAUAUCUAAAAUACUUGGAUGCAUAAAGGCUGAGUAACAACAAAUAAAAAUAGAUACACUAUCUCGACCACCAGAUUCAAGAGAUGGAUAAAGUUGAACUAAAAUACUUACUUAUUUCAGGAGCACGAUAAAACCGGCUAACAAGGUAGGGUGUGAUUUCAUUUUUACCAGCAAACAUGGCAUUACCAAAAUCACAAAGCUUCAGCACAUUUUUCCCCUCGUUAACCUAAAAAAAUUUAUCAAACAUCAUGAUAAACAUAAGAUCGACCAAUUAAAUGGAACUAAAACUUGAAAACAUACCAGCAUAUUAUCUGGCUUUAUAUCACAGUGGAGAACACCACAAUUUCUCAAAUGCUUCAGGGCAAUAAAAAGCUGCUUAGCGUAUGCCCUCACAGCAGUUAGCUUAAGGCCAAUAUUGCGCCCAAAUUUCUUCAAGACCUCACGGAGAUUCAUAUGAAGAGAUUCAAAAACUAAACAAAGAUGAUUCCUAUAUUUGAAACUUGAAAGAAAACGAACACAGUGACGCUUGUCAUCUGGAUCUGCACCUACUAGCUUUUUCAAUAUGACCAACUCCUCCAGACCAGCCUUGUACCUGUACAUCACAGAAUGCAGAAGAACAUCAGGUUCUUGAACAGGAAAUAAAAUGAAUACGACAAAGAAUCACCAGAAAUAAAGCAAGAAAAACAUACAUUGUUUCAUUACUACGCAAAAUUUUGAUUGCCACUUCUUCUGGUUCACCAGGACCGGCUUUGAGAUCCUUUGCACGGACCACGGUUGAAAAGACACCUUUUCCAUGAGCAGCAGCAAUUUCAUACCGACUAUCAAGCACUUCCCCAAAUCGAUAGUCUAUAUUCAACACAAAAGUUAAAUAAGCAAGGACUAAAUGAAUUAUAUACAUUUUUAGGUUUUUUGUCCUUCAAUUUCUUGAAUCAAAAGUUGUGAUUCACAUCGAUCUUAUAAUUCAACCUUCUGAAUUGCAGAAUUCAAAUCAUUUUGUAUUCAAAUGAACAAACUAACUCAUGUUAGCUCUGUUAUGUUUUGACUGGGGUGGUGAUACAACGCAUGUAACAUAUGAGAUUAUGUAAUGUAAACUUACUAUAAUAUCCAUCUGCAUCAUCCCAAUUGUCAUGAAGACCACUCCUCUCUAUCUGCAAACCAUCACUUUUUCCCUGCCAACAAAGAAAGAAAAUAUCUAAAUGCCUUUAUGCAGCGAGAAAAAUAGAACCUCAAAAAGCAUAAGUUCUCAUACCAUUUUACGAACUGCAGCAGGUGUUUCUCCAAAAAUGUCAUCACAGAAUAAUCCAUCUGACCCCUCAGCCUGCGGUUAUUAGUAUGAAUAAAAUUUAAAAUUAUAAAAUGAUUCAUCUUCUAAAAAUAAAGAGCACAACUAAGGAAGCAAAAAAUUGCACAAACUGGAGCUCAAGGGAGACUUCAAAGUAUAUAAUUUCAGAAAAAGAGAGGAAUCUACCCUCUUAUACAAGAGAGCAUUCUGCGCACCUUUGGAGUACCCUCUCCAAGUCCUUUAGUACCCGCAGUUUUAUCAGAUGCAAUUGCUCCAUUUUGUUGUGGUGAUUUCUCCACAACAAAAGAUGAGUCAGCAACAGAAUCAUCCACUACCCCAUCAACCAAUUCUGGAAUAGCAUGAGCUGCAGCUUCUGAUUGAGAAGAAUCCUUUCCAGAAUCCUUAUCUGGUCAAAGAGAAAUCAUUGCAAUAAAAAUGAGACUGAGGUAGUUACAAUAUUGUCAAUCUACGUUUCAGAUCUAGCAAAAGCUCUAAACUCUAUCAGACCGUUUGAGAUCAUCUCUACAAGGAAAAUAAAAACCAACCAAAACACAAACUUCCUGUCAGUAAAUUGUUUGACAUCAAAAUAAGAAAGUGGAGACGAGGGAGGAGGGGUGAAGUACUAAGAUUGGGCAGUGGGAAACUUCAAGUAAGAACUUAAGUCCAUGCACAGAAAGUUGGCAGGAAGCAAGUUCAUAAUUGCUGGCUUCUCUGCUUGAUCAAGACUCCCUAAUUGACAAUAAAUGUAGCCCAAUCCAAGUAAAUAAAGAGAUUUUACCUUUCUCAGAUUCCUUCAUAGAAGCCUCUACUUGUUUCUCUAACUGCUGGCAUUUAUAUUUUUCUAAGAUUGCUUGUCUCCGUCUUCUACUCUCCUCUUUGAUCCUGUUAAGAUCCUCCUCUUCUUCAUCAGCUAAUUGAUAUGACAUGCCGUCUCCAUCCUCUUCCUCCUCAUCAUGACCACUAUACAGAAAGAGAAGUUGGGCCAUUGUAAGCAGAUAGACUUCACACUGGCAAAAGGAAACAAUGUGUUUUUUUUUAAAUAAAAAAAAAGGUUACCUCAUUAGCUUGUCUUCACCUUCUUCACGAGUGCUUCUCUUAAAACUACCAUGUUUUUCGACAGCAUUAAUUCUUCCCCCAUCCAAACCAAACUCAUUAUCGUAAUGCCUAGACUGCUUAGAACCUUUAACGUAGCCAUGUUCAAGAUUCCCAUACUUAUCUUUACUACUUAAACUGUCACUGGCUUUAUUCUUGUUUCUAUCGUUGUGUCUCUCCCUAUCUAAUUCUUUAUCCCUAAACCGAUCCUUUUGCACCUCUCUCACUCUCUCCCUGUCUCUAUUUCUAUCACUAUAUUCAGCCUUAUCAUCAUUCCGAUCCCUGUCCCUUCUCCCAUCCCAAUCCACUUCUUUAUCCUUGCUCCUAUCUUUUUCCCUUUCUCUUCUUCUAUCCCUAUUACCCUCUCUAUCGGUGCUCCUACAUCUUUCCUUUUCUGCUCUUCUAUCCCUGUCCACCUCUCUUUCUUUGCUCCAACCUCUCUCCUUCUCCGUUCUUCUAUCCCUUUCUGCUUCUCUUUCCCUGCUCCAACCUCUUUCCCUCUCCACUCUUCUAUCUCUUUGCCCCUCUCUUUCCCUACUCCAACCUCUUUCCUUCCCUCUCCUAUCUCUUUCCACAUCCCUUUCCCUCCUCCUAUCCCCCCUCUCCAACUCUCUUUCCCUGCUCCUCUUUCGUUCCAUCUCCUUUCGUCUAUCUUUACUCCUACCUCUCUCUCUCUCAUCAUACUUUUGCUUAUCUACCCCCCUAUCUUUAUCUUUGUUUUUUCCCAUUUCAUUUUCCUUGGACCAUUCCCUAUCCAACUCCAUCUUACUUCUCCCGUUGUCCUUCGUGUCCCUGCUCCGAUGCCUUCCCUCUCCCCUAACACAUUCAGUGUAAUCAUCAUCCAAGUCAUUGUGAAUUUUAAUUUUAUCAUCAAACAUUGGUUGAUCCCAACCAUGAUAAUGUCUACUCUUUGACUCUGCCUCCUCUUCUACUGUUUCACGAGACUGAGAUUGUCCCCUAGAAUGACAAUUUGACCUUGAUCUACUCCUACAAUCUGAUGCAUCGAUGAAUCGAUCAUGAGAUGUUGAUGGCGUAAAAUCCUCAGACUUGCCUUCAGUUCUUUCUAACUGUGGCCUUUUCCCAUUCCCCAAGGUGUUUCCAUCUGUUGCCACCUUUCCAUUGCCGUUGUUGCUUAUUUUCUUACUAGCCCCUUUAGAAGGAGAUGCCAUUUGUUUGUGCAGCUUCUCAUCUAACUCCAGAGAUUCUUGAUCACAAUCCACUUUGCUAUGACCCUCUCGGCAAUGUUCAAUAUUGUUGUAUUUAGUUCCAGCCACUUCACUCAUGGAAAAGCUAGCAUCAUUGCCAUGCUUACAACCAGAGUCGGUUUGAUAAAGAAUCAUGUUUUCCUUGUUUGUGCCUUUUUUUAGAUAGUAGCCACCUUUGUCCAUGUCUAAAUUAUAGAACUUAGAGUCCAUUUUGGAGGUCUUCUGAUCUUGAGCACCGUUGCCUGCCCCCUCCUUCACAAUAAAAUUAGCCUGGUUAUUAGAUGAUUCAUCCACCGAAUGACACUCCUGCAAACCCAACAAGAGUACAUGAUUAGUGCAGAUGCUUGCAUUCCAAAGUCCCCGAUAAAUUACAUUCAUGCAGUAUUGGAUGCAUAAUAGGAAACACGUAACCAGAUCUUACAAAUUAAAUGCAAGCCUCAAUCUUCACUGAAACGCCUACUGAAACUUCUUUUGCAUUUCACUUGUGUUUGUGAUGUAUAAUCAGAUUCUUACAUAUGCAAGAAAGAAACACUGAGUAAAAGCUAACAAAACGUCACCAUGAAAGUUUGAUCAUAGUCGAAAACUAAAUACAAGAAGAUAAUUCUCAACUGGCAGCUGAUAUCAACGAAAGUAAGUACAUGUAUACCUGUAAAAGGUCAUUGUUCGUUGUUUACAGACAGUUAAAAAUGCCUUCGUUCGUUCUCUAAGAGAAUCAAACCCUUGAAGGUACAUUUGAUUUUCAAAAGUUAAUAACCCUAGUUUUUCUUACAAUUUCACGACAAUCAAAUAGAAAUGUACGAGUAGAGCAACAAGCAACUUAUCAGACUAAAAUAAAAUGGUGUUGGCUGGAACCUUACCAUAGAGGGCUGGUCAAUUCGAUCAGAAAUUUCAUCAGCUUCAGGUUUCCCAAAUUCCACAUCCACCUCCUUCGUCGCGCCCUCGUUCUCGCGAACACCAGACUCGUCCUCUUCCAGAAUUUCACCUUCCUCAACGUCAUCUUCAGGCCGAGAUCUGCGAUUAGCAGCGGGAGGAACACUGUCCUCCCGGUCACGGCAGCUUUCUUCUUCGUUCUUAUUGCUGCUGUGACGAUGUCGGUGGUGGCGGCGAUGGUGACGGUGUUUGUGACGCUUGGAAGAUUUAUCAUCGUCUUCAUCGGAAGCAGAUCGAUGGUGCUUCCGGUGAGCAGUAUCGUUAGCCAUUGGCGUUGCAAGAAAUCUAGGGUUUGUCUCUGAAGCUUUUCGCUCUGUACGCGUUCUGGGCCUUCAGAGAAGAGAUUUGCGCAAAGAGAUAGUUGUAGCGCUGUAGCCUUACGAUAAUUAUUUUUCGGCUAAUAAUAAAAUAAAAACAAACAAAAUGAAACUAUUUAUAAAAUAUAAUCAUUUCCAUACAAAAUGUAUCUUGAACUUUAAUAUUUAUGUCAAAAAUGUCUUUCUUUAACUUAAACUUUAAUAUUUAUGUCAAAUAUGUCUUUCUUUAACUUCAAAAAUAAUAAUAGAUUUUAAAGUGUUAGUUUUUUUUAAGUAAAAAAAUGGUUCGAAGUUUUAAAAGCUUUUAAACCGAUAAUUAAAAACUACAUCUAUCCUUUCAUUUUAAAUAAAAACUGUUAAACUUUUGUUUUAAAAAAAUAAUUCUUUUUUCAAAUGUUUCAAAAAUACAUUUAAUUUAAUAAAGGGUUAAAAAAUGAGCAUUUGGAACGCUAUUUAGUAAAUAUAGCACGUUUUUUUAAAUACUUUUCAUCCUAAAUUUGUUGUUAUUCAUGGACAUUUUUUUCAUUUUUAAUGUCUUACUCGUCUUUUUUUUUUCAUUUUUUAAUGCUCUAAGAAAGCAGUUUGUUUUUUCAAUAGCUAUAUAUUUCUUCUCACUUUUUAAGUAAUUUGUUAUUUCUAUUCUAAUCUUGAUUUUAGGGUAUCAAUGACACAUUAUUUCCAAUGUAAAAUAUAAUGGUCGUUGAUGAGAGUGGUUUAAUUUCAAUGUGUAUUUUGAGUUGAAUAUAGCUUCAAUUUUUUUUUUUGUGUGCUUUUAAGUUGGUUUUGUUUUUAUUAUGUUUUGUAUUAGUUUCGUUUAGUUUUGUAUAUCGGUGCUGUGAAGUACAUAUAUUGUAUGUACUAGUUGAUUGAUUUAUAUUCUAUGUAAUUUCCAAAAUUUAUGCAGCUUAUUGUAGUAUAUUAUUAAGUAUGUGGACGUAUAAUUCAAUGUAUCAUUACAAAGCAUAUCAACAACAUAUUAGUAAAGUUAAUCAUUAUCGUAUAUUUCAAUCAAGUUUACGAGUGCACAUUAACAGCAUGUCAAGUGUAUAACUAGAACUUCAAACAUAUCAAGUGUAUCAGUAAAUAAUACCGAGUGUUUAUGUGGCACAACAAGUGUAUAAACAUAUCAAACAUAUAAAAUUUGCUGAGUGUAUCAACAAAGUAUAACAGAUUAAUUAGCAGUGUAUUAAACUUAUCAGUUAAGCACCUAAGUGUAUCAAUGUCGAAAGGGUAUCAAGUGUAACAAGGAGUACUAUGUGUAUCAAGGUGUUUUAAGUGUUGCAAAUGGUAUAAGUGUAUCAAAUAAUAUAACGAUUCAUAAAGUGUAUCAUACAUCAAAAUGUUAUCAAUAAGUAUCAAAUAUGUAUCACGUGUAUCAAGGGAUAUUAAGUAUAUCAUACGUGUAUCAGGUGUAUCAAAUGCGUACUAUUAAUGACGACAUCUGUGACAUUUUAUAUAUUGUAUACGUGGGUUGAUAAUUAUUUUUGCUACUUUUGCAAAACGUGCGUGUUAUGAACUUCCUUACUAUAACCUUUUUUUUUUCAAGUGUUCCAAUAAUAAAAUAAAAAAUGCUCUCAAUCAAUUAUGGUGAUCAAUUUGUUUGAAGCUUCCUUGAUUUGAAAAUAUUAAAAUAUGAAACAAUUUAUAUAGAUAUUCAACAUAAACUUAGCCAACUGGCACAUGUAUGUUCAUGUGGAUAAGAGUUAUCGGGUUCAAAUCUCCACCCCAACAUUUAUUACAAUACCUUUGCAUUUCUAAAUUUUCUCAAAUAUUUGAUUACUUUACACUAAAAUAAAGUUUGUAGCUAACACAUGCCCUUCAAAGUGUGCUCAACUUCCACAAAUAACAUCUUUUGAAGUAGUACGCCAAUUUUGUUGCAUCAAAAGGCAAUAUUUAUAUUCUUUCCAAACAUAUUUUCAUCUGGAAAGAAAAAAAUACAAAGGCAAUCUCUUAAACUUUUUUUCUUUGAAACUAAACAACGUGAGAAAUAUUCCACCAUAGUUAUCUGCAAGGAGAAGCAAACAAUCUCCUGAUUGUUGAAACUCUUGAUGGAAUUUGCGAUCUUCGAGUCAAUAUCACUUUCUUGUCCAACAAAUUCACCACCACAGACUCUGUAUCUAUACCCAACCGAAAUUCAUCAAAUCAAUGAUACUCCAAUUAUAUCAUAAUCAACCAUUGGUUUCUUAAAAGCUUUGUUUGUUUUUCCAUCAGCAUGUAUCAACGUUCUCAUCUUUCUAAAUAAAUACAAAUGAUUUUUCAAAGCCUACUUUGAUAGUGAAAAGCUGAAAUCCAUACAGCCAAAGUUAACUAUUUUAUUUUGAACUAAAACAAGCCUUAAUCAAAACUUUUAUAAUAAAACACCUCUAGAAGGUAGAUUAAAGAAUCUAAAACAAAAAGGUAAAGAUAGUAAUUUUCUAAAGUUCCCUUUGGCUUUGAUAAGGAUUUUAUUCAUUUAUGUUUGUUUACCCACUAAUUUUUAACUAUGAAUUUCAAAUUUAUUGAAUAAACCCAAGUUAAAUUCUAAAACACAUAUAUGGAUAUUAAAAUCUAAACUUACAAACAGGCCUAAAUAAUUCUCAAACCAUACCCGAUAUUUUCCCAAAAAACAGUCUUAAAACAAAGCCAAAACAUCAGAUUCCAUACAUGAACAAAAUAAAAAAAAAAUACUUAAGAUGGAACGAAGUUCCCCAAAAACAGAGUAGAAUGUCACCGUUCAUUUUGGAGAGUAUAUUGGCCAGUUUCUUCUGACACUCAGCACAACCAAUAUCGGCAGUCAACACAAUUUCCUGAACCUGAAAAUCAACAAUCGUCCGCCAUUAAAUUAGAGCCACAAGAAGACAACGUCAGAACAAAUGCAAGAGGAACAGAGGAAAAAGCAGAGACAAGAGGCAGAGUUAAGGACUCAAUGGAAGCAAGACUAGAAGCAUGAGGAAAAAUCCUUUUCUUCCGAACUCCGAUUCCGACCACCACCGCGCCCAUGCUCCGCCUCCGAUUCAAAGGAAGAAGAUUUUUAUGUGUGAGUUAUUGUGAAAAAAGGGGAUUGGAUGAUUAUAUAAGUGGUUGGGAAAAGAGAGGAGGAAGAUAAUGGAGAGUAAGUAAAAGGGGAGCCGUGAGAGUGAAAUGAUGAUGAUGAUGAGAAAGAGUUGACAAAGAUGGUUGGUUUCACAAUCACACAGCUGCUUUCCGCAAAGGGCUUUGCCUAAUUUUUUCUUCUCGCAAGGAAAGGAUGAUGAUUCCUUCGAGGUUGCUUCUGUGACCAAACACUUGCACGUUUCGGGAUAAUGCAGUAAAAUAUUGCUUGUGCAGUUAUUUUUUCUUCUUAAAUGAAACUACUAAAUUAUCUAAUUGUAGUUUCUUAUAUUUUUUCUAUAUAUUGUACCUUAUUUUGUUGAUUGACAUUUGUGUUAAUAAAUUGUUUACUUUUGGUAUUUCUGCAUAGUUAACUUUCACAUAUUUGACAUUGGCUUUUUAAACAAUUAUGAACACGAGUAUUGUUCUGUUUAAAAAAAUGAUGGAAGGUCCACUAACAUUAAAAUAAAUAUUUACAACUAUAAAACUAUAGUGUAAAUAAAUGAAGUAUAAUAGUGGGAAUAGUCUAUAGUUGUAGCAUCUAUUUCUAUUUAACAUUUAAUGUGACAUCAUUUUUCUUCAUGAAUUUCACCUCGUAUUUAAUUUCUUGUUGAUUCAUAAAAAUUAAAUUUAUAUCUAAUAACUAUUUUUUAACAAAUCCAUCCAUAACUUAUAAGACUAAAUGAAACUUUGAGUAACUUAAAAUUCAAUGUAGUGAAAAACAUUAAUACAAAUUUUGUAGCAAAAUAAUCAUGUUAUCACAAUUAUAGUCAAAGUGAUAUUAGCUAAGUGGUAACUCUACGGCGUUCUUCCUUAAAAGUUAGAGGUUUUACUUCUUACCUUUUAACGGUUAUACAAAAAAAAAAAAAAGAACCCAACAAUUUUAUUUUGAUCAACAAUCUUGAUGACAAACGACACGACCACGUAAUAUUUGUUGUCAUUCAUGUUUAUAAUCAAAAGUUAACUUUGGAACUAUUUACUUUCAUUUGAAAGAGAAAAGCAAACCCCAAAAUUUAGAAGCGAGCAAUGAACGAACCGAACAAAAAUGAAAGUGAGAAUAUAAAUGUAUGGUUUAUAAAGACUUACAAUUAAUUGAUAGCAAUCACAUGUACGUGACUUCAUAAUAAAUUAUUGUAAAGAAAUACAUGAACAACCAUAAAAUAUGCUACAACAGGAUUUCAAGAGUUGAAUGCAACAUAAUAUUAACUGUUUCUGUUAAAAUACAACAACGAAAUACAUUUUUUAAUAAAUCUUUAAAGGUUAAAAAAAAAAGUAUUUUUCACACAAAUUAGAAAGGUUAAAGACAUAUUUUAUAAUUUAGUUUUAUUUACGUCUAUUCUUUUGUUGGUUUUGUGUCAGAUGGAGACAACGACGUCGUACUGCAGAAGGAAAAGGGAAAGCUGCUAGAACUAUAAGGAAACGACAGAUCCCACGCCAAGUUCCCAACGGCUCCAAGGACUAUACGACUCCGUGUCUUCAUUUUAAUUUAUGUAAUUAGCUUGUAAUUAAAGCUCUAAUCUCCAUCGAUGUGGAUUAGGGGUACUAAUCAUGGGCGCUCCACUACCAACAAACAAUAAAGUUACAUUUCGCAUCCAUGUAUUCAUUUUCAGUUUUUAACCAUUUUUUAGUUCUUGGAUUUUAGGGCCUAUUUUGGCGUUUUACAAAACACCCUCUUUUUAACAGAUUAUGACGCCAACUCAAUAAAUUAUGACAACAUACUUUUUUUAAAUAGCUAUGAUUUUAAUUUUUAUUGGUCCUUUCCUUUAAAUUGGUAUAAUUUUCGUACAAAGGGAACAGAGUCUAUCAAUCAUUAAACGUGGGCCUUUUAUUUACUUAUGACAACUUUUAAUUAAUGAAUUGUUUUUCUUUCCUUUCUUCUUGCAUGCUAAAGUCAGUUGAUUUAGUACAUGUCGUACUCUACAAUUGUUUGAUUAAAAAAAUGCUAUUUUUAAUAUAUAACUAGAAAAUAAACAUAUCAUCAUUUUAAUGGAUUACCUUGAGUUUUGAGAGGAUUCAAGUUCAUAUGGCUCUAGAAGUUUGCAUGUUGUGGAAUGAUCAAUUAAAGUUUUUAUUAUUGAAAUGGUUGAGUUGAGCUCUCCAUUUGUUUUAUGAAAGAGGGGGAUGAUUAAUGGCAUGGACUUUGAGGAUACAUGGGAUGAUGAGUUUUAUAAUCAAGGUAAUAUUACCACCUAUAAUGUAUCCAAACCAUACUUAGUUUAAUAUUUUACGCUUUACUAAUUGACUUAUAGAUUGAAUUGUGGGUGACCGGACCUACUUUGGUGCGAGCUCAUUUUAUGUGCAUGAUUCAAAAUAACCUACAUGACAACAUAUUUUUUUAUAUAUUUGUAAUAAUGAGAGUCACCAAAAUGGGCCUAAGAACUAUUAGAAUGUAACCUCCAUCGUCAUGGAACAAUCUUUCCAUUAUAGCAAACAACCAAAAGAAACCAAAAAAUAAAAAAUAAAAAAGUGAAUAGAUAAAAUGAUUACCUUAGCUUUGUUUUUAAUAUUUUGACGACAAGUCGACCCAAGUCCUUACCAUAGUGUCGAUUUGCUAGUUGAAUAUUGACCUCAUGGUAUUAUUAUUAUUGGAUCCAACCUAAUUUCUAUUCAAUUCCAAAAUAUCUCACAAGAAUGAAACUCAAACAAUUGUUUCAACUUUAAAAGUACUAUUUGUUCAACAUAGAUGUAUAUAAAACAGUGGUUUUCCAAUUUGCAACUCAUUUAGAUACAACAAACAAAAUUAAAAUGAACAGUGUUUUUUAGUUCCUUUAUUAAAUAAAUAUAAAAUUUAUACUCUCGACCUCCUAAACUCCAUAUUUUCUUUAGCUCGUUCUACCAUUUUGUACUCUACCUUAUAAUACUUAAAAGUCAUUUAAACUUGAAAUGAGUGAGAAAUUAGGACGUGAAUAAUUAUGAAAAUCAGUAUCCAUGUCAAUUAACAAAUUAAAGUGACUUUAACCAAUAACCUAUACAUUUGACAUAUGAUUGAUAGAUACACAAAUAAGUUAUUUCAUGCAAGGCGUGCAAUGUAUGCAUAUCCAACUCUCUUUUUCCUCUCCCCACUGCUUCUAUCUUCCAUUUUGUCUCCUCUUCUCGCUGUAUAUUAAUUAAAAAAAUGUUGAAUUUUUUAAAGAUAACACAGAGGGCUGUGUUUGGAAAUAAAUUUAUAAAAACCACAUCUGUAUUAAAGAGAAAGAAAACUACUGCGAGUCAUAUAUGUUUUCAUUGGCACCUUGGGAAAUUAAACGAUAUAUUAACUUGAGGGAAUUAAAUACAAAGCCCAAAUCUCUCAGAAGUUUAUGGGCCCAAAUAGGAAGAGUUCGUGGAUCAAAAUUAAAUGAAACGAAACGUAGCCGAGUCAAAGUCCUGAAAGUAGGGUGGCCCAGGCUCUAUAACCUUUUGAUGGAUUUGGGCCUACUCUUGUUCCCAAAGCUUUUUUUGGGCCUAACUUUUUUUAUUUCAUCUAAACAAUUAUUUACUAAAAUUCAACUUCUAAAUUGAUAUAAUUAUUAAUUAUUUUGACCGUACCUUUGUGUUUAAAGUUUCCUCCUCCAAAUUACUAUACCAAAAGUCUGACGUUGAAUUUUAUGUGAGUGGAAAUUUAAUUUUCAAAGUUAUACAAUAUAUAAUCAAGGUGGCAAGUAGAUUUUAGAACUUUCAAAAUUGUACCAAGGUUGUUCAAAUUUUUAAUAAUUUUUUAAAGUUGAGACCUACACUCUAAUAAACUUGGAUACACUAACUUAGCAAAGUAGAGAACAUGUUUUAGAUUUAUAAUGUCUAUAUAUGUAAUUUUUGGGCAAAUCACAAAAAUAAUUCCUAAUGGUAGUUAAAGAGUACUUUUAUGUAAGUUUUAAAAUUGGGGUACAUCCAACCUUCCAAUUUACACAAUUAUAAAUUGUCACAUUUGUAUCAAAAGUUACGAGUUCAACUUUAUAGUAUCGUUGUAAGUUUAGGAUUGUGAUUUUUAGUAUGCAAAAUAGGAGGAAUUUUGGUAUUUGGCAACAAGCCUAAAAUUCUUCAAUAAAUCGAAUGGGACCAAAAAAGAAAGGAAGGAAAAGUAGGGAAAAGGAGAGAUUUGAGUGAGCCAAAUGUAGGCGAUGGAAACAGAGUUGAAGUAGCUCAAAUCUCCCAACGAACGCCUCGUCCUCUCCGCCCUUUUUCUCUUAAACUUCUCUUCCAAAUCUCCACACACACUUCUCUCUAACAGAUCUUCUCCAUUUCUCCAAUGGCAUCCCCCUUCCUUUCUCGAGCUGCUCUCUCCAGCAACACCACCUCCGUUCCAUUUUCAUUCUCUUAUUCAGUCUCUUCUCGCCUCCCAUGGAGCUCUUCUCGUUCACACACCUCAGUUCCCGCUAAUUAUCGUCGGAGGCUUCCCGUCAUUCAAUCCAAGAUUAGGGAGAUUUUCAUGCCUGCCCUUAGCUCCACCAUGACCGAGGGCAAGAUCGUUUCGUGGGUCAAAUCCGAAGGGGACGUUCUAUCCAAAGGCGAGAGCGUUGUCGUUGUGGAGUCUGAUAAGGCCGACAUGGAUGUUGAGACUUUCUAUGACGGAAUUCUCGCUGCUAUUGUUGUUGGAGAGGGUGAAACUGCUCCUGUUGGAGCUCCGAUUGGUUUAUUGGCUGAGACUGAAGAGGAAGUUGCUGAGGCUAAGGCUAAAGCUGCGUCUAAAUCCACUUCGGCUCCUGCAGCUCCUGCGGCUGCUGUUUCUCCCUCUCCUCCCCCUCCCUCUUCGAGUCCUGCUCCGGCAAUAUCUCAGUCAUCGCCUCCGUCGGACGGGCCCAAGAAGAUCGUGGCUACUCCUCAGGCGAAGAAGCUAGCUAAACAGCAUAAGGUGGAUAUUGGAUCGGUAACUGGUACUGGUCCAUUCGGUCGAAUUACUCCCGCGGAUGUGGAGGCUGCCGCUGGAAUUGCCCCUUCGAAGCCUGCUGUAAGCAAUGUAGCUUCACCCGUGGCUGCUGAGGCUGCCGCGGUUCCAUCGAAAGCUUCUGCAGCUCCUUCCAACUUGCCUCCUCCAGUUCCAGGCUCGACUGUUGUGCCAUUCACGACAAUGCAGGCGGCGGUGUCUAAGAAUAUGGUGGAGAGUCUCUCUGUUCCUACAUUCAGAGUUGGUUAUCCGGUGUCCACUGAUGCUUUGGAUGCCCUCUAUGAGAAGGUACAUGAAAUAUUUGCAUGAUUUAGUGGAUUUUUCCAUCCGUUUGGAAGUUGUUGACCAUUUAAUUGGGCAAUUGCAACGAUUUCAGGUGAAACCAAAGGGUGUCACAAUGACUGCCCUCUUGGCCAAGGCUGCUGCAAUGGCCCUCGCUCAGCAUCCUGUUGUAAAUGCAAGCUGUAAAGACGGGAAAAGUUUUACGUAUAAUAGCAACAUUAAUAUUGCAGUAGCCGUGGCUAUCAACGGUGGGUUGAUAACACCUGUUCUUCAGGAUGCAGAUAAGGCGAGUUGAUUACUUUACGGAUUAAUAUCGUUGGAUGUACUGAGGCGUGUUAUAGAUAUUGUUCUUUUGGGUAUCUUCUUAUUUUUCUUUUAUCAUUGCAGUUGGACCUCUACCUGCUGUCUCAAAAAUGGAAAGAAUUGGUUGAGAAAGCUAGAUCCAAGCAGCUUCAGCCCCAUGAAUACAAUUCAGGUACCAACACUUCCCUGUGUGUGUUUGAGUUUACCUAAGCCAUGGGGCGGACUGAAAUUGAAUUGUGCUACCUGUAGGAACUUUUACACUUUCCAAUCUGGGGAUGUUUGGAGUGGACAAGUUCGAUGCUAUACUUCCUCCUGGCCAGGUGAGUAAUCAGAGUUUGGCUAUACAUAGGCAAUGGAUUUUUCUGGUCCCUUUGUUUCUUUGCGUUUUGUGUUGAUUAUUCCACAUUAUUUCAGGGAGCUAUCAUGGCCGUUGGAGCAUCAAAGCCUACUGUUGUCACUGAUGCUGAUGGCUUUUUCAGCGUGAAAAGUAAAAUGUUGGUGAGUUUUCUGUUUCUUCUAACAUUUUGUUCCGUUCUCAUUUCUGUUUAUUAUGAAUGCUGAAUUUAAGGUUAGUUACUGUGCAGUCCUAAUCUUAAGAGGAAUUAGUUAAGCCAAUAAGACAUCUAAACUAUAUUGAACUGUAUUCAUGGAUCAUGAUCAAUACAAGGAUUCUUAGGUUAAGCUUUCCGAAGAAAUGUUAACAAUAGUUCAGGAAAUGAAUGGAAGGCAUGGAAACAGACAGGCCCGUGUUUAAAUUUACACAGGAACUAGUUUUAUUUGCUUGAAAAUGACUUGUGUUUGGUUGAUAGAAAUGAGAUCUGUUAGAUCUGAUCUUGAUCUUUAUACUGUCUAGUAUCUAUCCUACCUUGGAGAAAAACGAUGUUAGAAUUUCUGGCUUGGACUUUUUCUUGGGUGUUGGCACCAGCGAGUAUAAGCUCCCUAGAAAGCCAUUUUUACGGGGGUUCUGUAUUACAAAUACACUUGCAAGAGAAGCCAGAGAGGGAAUGAAGGAAAAGCCUUUAUGAGAUUACCAUUCAGAGGGUUUGGUAGAGAAUAUGUCAGAUUUGUCCUUGCACCCUGUCCCAGGGGGCAUCACUAUAGUGCCCAAGAAGAAGUCAUGUAGCUCUAUCAAUCAUUAAAAUUUCUUCUGAUAUUAUGGUUCCAUCAAAAAGAGCGAAUACAACGUUGGCUACUAAAAAUUUCUUCUCCACGAGAGAGUAAAAUAUGUAAAAAUGGACGGAGAAAGCCAAUCAACCUUCCUAGAAGUCUUCUCAAGAAAGGGCACUUUUACACUUACGAAAAUGGAUUUUGGUCUUUUUGGCCAUAACCGUUGGAUCUAUUGCCUUAACCAUUUAGGAUUUUCAGCAAUGCUUCUUUCCUUUAAAUGUGGCCAACCAAAUGGAAGGUCUUUGGUGCUCAGUCCUAUUUUUCUGAUUAUAUAACAACUUCAGUUCGGUUUUUCAGUCUUGAAGCCACUGAAUACUGAUUUUAUUCGGUUGGCGCAACUGAGCACCCUAUUUGGCAUACAGCUGACCUUUGCCUAAUUUCAUGUAACUACAAACUUCCACUCUGAAUAUUAUUAGAGAUAGCAAGUACAUGCGUACAUAACGACAUUUCAUAUCUCCACAAAGACUUAGAGGGUUGGUAAAGUUUAUCUGUACUUAUGGUAGUGGUUUUGUGUAGAGCAAUUCUUCUUAAUCAUUCUAUAAUUAUUUUCUUGUAUUCUGGUGUGGUGUGCAAAGCUUCUAGUCUAGUGGACGUUGGCGGAAAACCUUUCUAGUGUAUAGACGUCUUAUUGACUGGCAAAUUCUGCAUUUUGCAGGUGAAUGUGACUGCUGAUCACCGAAUAGUUUAUGGUGCUGACUUGGCUGCCUUCCUUCAGACCUUCGCAAAGAUAGUUGAGAAUCCAGAAAGCCUGACCUUGUAGAAAGUCUUCAUUUGCAUAUUUCAUGAUCAAUUAAAACUUGACUGCAGGAGGAAUGAAAAACAAAAGUCCUUUUGUUUUUGUUUUUUGUUUUUUGUUCUUUUUUGGCCACGGAAUGAUGGAAGCUUAAGUUAAAUAGAGUCCCAGAGGAAUCCCUUUUGUGCAUGAGGUCCUAUUGAUACUUUAUUUUGAUAGAUACUUCAUAUUUAUUUUCUAUUUCUAAAAGAUUUGAAGAGUAAUAAUGAGUUGAUUUACUUUUUCUAAAUUGUUGUUGCGUAUGGAAAUGUAAUUGGUAGAAACUCAAUGGAAGAAGUUCGUUUUUAUCCAUUUGACAAAGAUAUUUGAUAAAGAAACAGUUUCUUAAACAACUCCUAACCUUCAAACUUUUGCCGGACAAUAGUUUACGUUGAGAAUCAUAUCCUUCAACUGAUCCAAAUUCUACUGUUUUUCCCUUUUGUUUUAUACUCAAAUUGAAAGGUACUGUGACCUUUUACCAUGAUCUGUCCUAUACUCCAAAACGAUCAGACGUUAUGAGUUCAAAUAUUAUAUAUAUACAGAUAAUAACACUAAACAAAAUGUGUAGUACAAAGGAAAAUAGUUUAUGUUGAAAUCAUAUCCUUCAACUUUCUUUUGCUACCAACUCCGUCAGAAAUGAGGUGCUGCUUUGCUUUAGAUAGGAUUAGUGAAGAAUCAAUUGUCUACAUGAGGUCAAACGUCACCAGUCCAAGCUGAUCUUCCUAGAAAUGUAAAGCUUGUCAAUAUAUUCUAUAACCGGGCCCGAAGCAUUGAUAUACCUUCUCAUUUUCUUCUCUGCCGACUGAUCUGUAAUGGCGAAAAAGGUGCUGUAAAUUUACUUGUGCAUACAACAUAUUUAGCCCUAUAAUUAGGAAGAGUAAAUGAAAUGAGCAUCAUACUGGUUUCGUUAAGCUUUAACAAAAGCUGCUCCCUUGUUGGAAGAGUAUACAUUCCAGCUGAAACUGCUGUUCUGACUGCCCAGCUAUGGUAGGGCGCGCAUACUCGGGUAUAAGCUGUUGAGGCAGCAUCUCUUAAUGAAUAUUCACUGAAGGCACAAGUGAGAAGUUUGGUAAGUUUCCCCUUUUCAAUAUUCAAAUAAGAGGUCCAAAAUUGAUGUAAGUAUCUGCUGACGGAUGAAGAGGUUUGAAGUUCAAAUACUGUUGACUUCCUAUUAGAUUCAAGCCUUUUUUCCUUUUUUUAAACAAUAUUAUAUUACUACAUUAUGAAUAUGGAAAGAGAGUUUGAUCCCUGAUGCCUGCCUAUAUGAACUAGGUUUCGAAUUCAUGGAUCCAAUUAAGAAGCAUUUAAUCAUUCAUAUAAAUUCUUCUGUAGCGGGAGAAACAGGGUAAAGAUGAUCCAAAGAUCAGAAGGUAACGACAAAACAUUUUUUCUGUAAAAAGGGUGAAACAAAUCCAUCACUUCAUGAACUUCUGAGAAACAUUGACAAAAAAGGAAAUGGACAUUACUUCUUCCAUCUUCAUUGCAAAAAGUAAUAUCAAAAUGGUUAGAGAGCUUACUCAGUGGACAUGAACUGUUCAAACAGAGCUCUAAUAAGGUCCAAUCCUUGCCGAACUCGACGCAGAUUGCGAGAAUGGCUUCCAGGCGUUUUGACCGUGUCAUUUGCAAUAUCAGCAUCAAGUAUCGUAUGCAAUGUCUCAUAUUUCUUGGAAGCUUCCACAAGAUCACGCACCUAAAAGCAAAAAAAAAAAAAAAAAACUCAUAAAAUCGGGGUGAUUCCAUUUGAAUUCCAAAUAUCAUUGACCAUUCAAAUUUCAUUCUAUUUGCAAUCUGAUAAAGAAACAAAAUAGAAGAUGAAGAAUUUAGAGGAAUAUAACCUUGGAGACGUACUCUAACUCAGCGAAUUUGAAGGCGAGGCCAAGAGAACUGAAAAGAAUAGAGACAAGAGAACAAGCAUCACAGAGCGUAUCCAAUCGGAGUUCUUGAGAAGAAUUCUUCAAAGAUUUUACUAAUUUGGCAAGCCCUUCGAAGGACUCGGCUAUGGCGGUAAGGGGGGUCGCACCAUUAUCCAUUUUUAUGGGCGCUCAAAAUCCAAAGCCACAUCCACCACCAUUAUACAUGAAAGUUUUUUUCACAGAAUCAUUGGAGAUUUCAAAGAAAUGGAGACUGAGAGAAGAAAGUAAUGGGAACCCAGUUGGGAAUUUGCAAGUAAUGGAAGGAAUUUCAACUUUUCUUAUGUGAAGAAUCUGUAAUGGAAACUGGGGAUUUGGAUGAAUGUUUCUUUUUAUUUCUUAUUGUGUGGGUUUGGGAAGUUGGGAAGUUUGCUACGGAUGCGGUUUGUCCAACAGAAUUUUGAAAUUUCGAAACGCUGAAUAGAGGAGAGAGAGAAGAGAGAGAAAGUGGUGUAUGGUUCAUGGCUGUGUGCUCACUAAUUUCGCGUCAUAUCAGUUGGAAACCUUCUUAGAAAAUCGAAAUAAUAAAUCAACCUUUCAUUCUCGUUUUUAUUUUCUUCUAAAAAAAACAUUUUGUGUUAUUAAAUCAAACAAAUAUUUACCAUUUAUUGAAACGAAAAAAAAAUGUCUCUGGAAUUAAAAAUACAAAAAAUUUACAGAUGAAAUAAAAUAAAAGAUGUACUUUACUUUUAUUAAUUUUUAACAUAUUGGUAUUAUUUCUGUAUAAAUGUCUAAUCCUUUCUCAUUAAAAAUGAGAUGCAUUGAAGUUCGAUUAGAUAACAUGGUUAAGGAUAUAAAAUCCUCCAUUUUGUUAAACUAAUAAAAAAUAGUUAAAUUACAAGUCGAAUGUGCGGUAAUUUCUCUACAAAGUUAAAAACUUCAAAUUUCUAUUAGCAUAUUAAAUAAUGGUAUUUUUUUUUUUUGGGUAGAUAUACUAUAUCUGAUAUAGUAUAGUAGAUUAGUAAACUGUAAAAAGAUAAAAUAAAUAAAAACUUGACUAAAUCUGUUGUUAGUACUAUAAACAACAUCAUAAACUAAAUUGAUAAUUUAUGGAAAUUUUGACUUAGUCUCUUCCUAGUUGAAUGGACCAUAGAUGAUUGUCCAAAUUAAUUGUCAGAACAAAAAUUUCAAUUGAUCCUUUCUUACACUUGCAUUCUUAAGAAGCGAUAGAUGUUACAUUUAGGAUGUAAUUAAUAUAAACGAGUAUCCACAAUCAUGUACUAACACGGGAUGAGAUAAAUCCAUAUGACUCCCAAUGUCACUAAGAAAAGAUAGAUAAUGUCUUGGAUUUAGAUAUAGUGAUAGCAUUUUUGCAACUUUUUAACAAAAGAAACUUUAGUACUUACCGUCCUCUGACCUUAGGAACACUUAUGAAUGUGAAAUUGACAGAUAGUACGGAUUCCAUUACAUUUUUAUAAGUUAGAAUGAUCACCAUGCCUGUUUGAUCCUUUAGCCUAAGAGACCAUCACUGUCAAAAUAAUAGACUCGGAAGAAACCCAUUUUUGGUAACGGAAAAAAAAUACAAAGAAAAUGUGGAAAAGGGAAAGAUAAACAAGGGAAUAGAAUAAAAGGUAGAGAUGAGAAUGAGAGAAGGGAGUACUGAGUUGCGAAUUAAAAUUUAAGGGAAAGAUACAGAGAGAGAAAGAGAGAGAGAGAGAGAGAGAGAGAGAGAGAGAGAGAGAGAGAGAGAGAGAGAGAGAGAGAAGGAUAAAACGCAUCUUCACAUCUAUGUUCACAGCAAACACAAUUCACAAUGUUGCCAAAGGGCGAAAAAAGAUAAAAGACAGAUUUAAAGAGGGAAGCACGACGGAUAAAUACAGAUUCUUUCCUUUUUGUUUAGAUGAUGUUGGAUUCGCUGUCUUUUUCAUAUACCUUUUUUUUCUUUCACUUUUCUUUUUCCUUCGUUUUUUUGGUGGGCUUAUUAAAAUUGGAAGGAGAAUCGGGACUUAGUUCUGAUUACCCUCAAAUUCGUGGAUAUGAUCUAAAAGAUAGUUGGCAGCCAUUUCCUCGUUUUUGUUGCAUGCAAAGAAAACCUCCACAACUAGACCUCUGUCGAAACCCAUAUCCUCAAGCUGAAUGGAAAACGAAGACAAAAAAAAAAAAAAGAAAAAAAAACAUCAACGAUAAAGUUAAACAAAACCAGUUGAAUCCAAUUGCCUCUCUCUUAAAGUUAUAUUACAUUUUAAAACGUUCAAGAUCAUGUCUAUUUGGAUCCAUUUACAGAUAAGUUCCAAAGCUUAAGGGUCCAUCUUAUAGAUUCUUUACAUUUUCAAUGGUGUCAAGCUCAUUGAUCUAUUGUUAGACUUUCUUUUUUAUAUUCAAACCUACUGUUAGACUUGAAUUAAAAGGUUGAAAAAGAAAUUUUUUAAUUUAUUAUUUUAAUAAAUUGGUUAAAUUUUAAAAUCUGAAAAGAUGGCAUAAAAUUGAAAGUUUAAUGAUCUAUAUGAUGAUACAUAUAGAUAAUUAAUUGAAAGCUCGAAAGACCAAUUAGACACUUAAAAUGGACAAGAUGCCAAAUUGAGAGAAUUUCACUUGUAAUUGGAUAUUACAUAUAGAUAGAUAGAAUUCUCUCUAAAACAGUUCUGGUUAUCUAGUAAUAGAGAAGGUAAACUAACCCGUUGAAUGGCUUCACGCUCCUCCGGGGUUACAGUUAUAGCCUGGGGCAUAGCCUCAGCUAGCUGCCCAAGUAUAUUCCUGAACAAGUUUACAGAUAUUAUCAUUAAUCCAAAAACUUCCAUCUUUGUUUCAAAAUAAGUGAAAGAAAAAAGACGCACCCUUCUCCUUCGAGGGGCUCAUUAAUCAAGCGAAGGAAGUCAGGUUGAUGAUCUUGAAUAAGCCUAAUCAGCUGAGGAUUUUGUUUACCCAACUCUUGAAGCAUAGGCUGAAACAAAAUUAAGGAAAAGGAACUUGUGUAAAUCGAACCUCAUGUUUAGAAAAAGGUAUUAAUAGUGGAUGAAGCACCUGGAGUAUCUGAGGGUUAGCUCGGACCAUUGCUCGCAAAGCUUGGAACUGAGACAGGCAAAAACAGAUUUCAGAAGCAGGAGAUACAUGAAGUGAACGUGCCAGUUUGGAAUAAUUAGGAAAGAGAGAGACCUGAGGACUAUUUCGUAGAAAAUCAAGACUGCCGGAACCAACAGCUCCGGAACCAAGAUUAGGCAAGCCCUGAAGAAAAGACAAUUAGGUCCAUUAAUUUGCAAGUUUGAAAAAGCCCACAAUUGCUUGAAUUUCCUUUUUCCUAGCAAACUUGUAAUAUUAUAACAGGCCUAUCAAGUUGCUGAACUUAUCUUUUCCUACCUGAGGAAAGAGAUCUAAUGGAUUAGCAUUUGGGCCAGUCGAUGACGGCGCAGAUGCAGGUUGGGCUGGCUGUGCAGGUUGAGCAGAAGGGUUGCUUGCUUGCACGGUAGACGGAACUCGAGCAGGUGGGGCUUCAACUUGUUCAGGUAUUCCCUAUAUAUGUGAUAAUUUUGUUCAGGCAAUACAUCCUAAACAAAUUAAACUUGGAGAUAAAAGUGUGCCCAUUUAUUCCUUCACCACACAGGAUCGGAUCAUCAAGCCAUAGGAAGUAAAAUUACAGGCCAAGGCCCAUUCCCCGACUGAAGGAAAUCCUCAAAAGAAAACUUAACUAAAAUAUAACGAGUCAAGAAUAACAGGAGAACUGGAAGAUAUUAAUGAACUUACAGAAUAAAGGUAAUCAACAGCCCUUUCUGGAUUGUUGUAAGCAGCACGGAGCGCCCGAACAACAGUGUCCCUGUCCCAAACCCCUUCGCCCAUGUCAAGAAUCUGUUGGACAGUCUCCUCCAAGUUACUACCAGCAACCAGGUUAGAAGCUGCUUGGCUAUAGACAUCGGCAUCCGGCCUGUGUUUCAGAGUGUAAUAGAGAAAAUUUAGAAAACUAGAACUCUGAAGAGAAAGAUAGAGAGAAAGAUCCUAUAUAAUGGAAGAUGGAAUAUGAAAAAACAUCAAGAGAAGGGUAGAAGUCCUCACAAAACAGUAGUUGCAAGAGAUGGAGCUGGAGCUGCAGCCGGAGUAGGAGUAGGAGUAGGAGUAGGAGCAGGAGCAGGAGCAGGAACAGGAACAGGAGUGGGAGAGGGAGCGGGAGGAGAAGAAGCAGUAACACUAGCAGGCCUGAAGUAUAGAUCAUUAUGAAUUAUAAAUGCUCCGAGAACAGUUAUUCCGGAAAGAUGUAGUGAAAGUUGGCGAUAAAAUCUAAACUCACGGUGCUGAAGUUGGUAAUGGAACUUCAGUAGUUGACACUGGAGUAGCAGCAGGUGCAGGGGCAGUGCUCUGUGGUGCCUGCAAGUAGGUCAUUAUCAAAUAUAUCUCCCAUUUUUUUCAUCUUUAUUUCCUUUCUUUAACAGGAGAAUUAGUAAAAAAAACAAUAUUUUAUGGAAAAUAAAUAACAAAAUUGAAAAACUCUGCUUUAACUCCAACAGAUUGGCGACAGAACAUCAAGCAUCAUCAUGAAUAUUUUUAAUGCGAUUAUUUGGAGAUAAUCAUGAGAAUAACUAUAUUAUAGUACAUCGAUCUCUUCAAAACAAAACAUUAUGCAAUUAGUAUUGAAAAAUCAUAUUGUCAUUGUCAAUAAUAUAAAUACCCGAAGAUAGGUUUUUAUUGUCCACUAUUUUAAGAAGAAAAUAAGAGUUGUUUUUUAAUAAUAAAAAAUAAAAACAUCUUUCAAUCUUAACAUAAGAGUAACAGAUAGCUUCACUCAAUAAUGUGAAAAUGGCCAACCUCUUUCAGAAACAGGUAUAACUAUUAGCUAACUAAAAUAAAUACAAACAAAAAUUAAAUACUGAAAAGCUCAAACUAGAAUUUGAUAAUACCAUCCAACAAACUCAGUGAAAAACAGAGAGAAGGAAAAAAAGGGAAGAUAAAAACAAGAUAAAAAGUGAAUUAAGUCACCACCUUUACCACUAGCCAGUAAACAUAGAAUUGUUAUUCCUUACCUUUGCUACUGGCGCAGCAUGUGUGGUAGAAGAUGUCCCACCUGAUGAACUUUUAUUCUACAUACAAAAAGUGAGGGAAAAAUAUCAUUUGAAGCAAAACAAAACGUAAAGAUAAUGAAGAGAAAUAAACAAAAGGGUUCACACUUUAACCAAUAAGUAAAAGUCGCAAUAUGAUCUAGUAAGACUAAGCAUAUCACACAAUGCUGUGCAACUUAGGAACAUACAGGCAAAAACAAUCUCUUCCAUGUCAGUGCCGACACUUCCUAGCAUGAGCUCUAGACUACCAAUUAUGAGCCUCCCACUCAAGGCAAGGUCAUAUGAGCAUUUGCAAAAUAUUUCCCCAAACCAACAGUAAACAGUCAUAACACUAAAAGAACAAGUAGUCAAGGUUUAACAAUCGGUUUUCUUUUCUUGUACCAUUUUUUAAAUAAAAAACUGGCAUUAAUUGAAAAAAAAAUAUUUUUUCAUAUAAAAAAUAAAAGAUUACAUCGACCAGGGAGGCUAAAUAGGGAAGCCCUAAACCUCAACUUCUUCCCAAGACCUCUCCACUCAAUUGAAAACCAUCUCCUAUUUCUCUCCAGCCACAUCCCUCAUAAAGUAGUAAAAAGGCAGACCACCAAAGUAUACAGCCCUUGUCCUGAUGAGGGUGGAAUAACACCUCCAACAACAGCAAGCAACAGCAACUGUUCCAGAUAAGAAGGAUGUUUCAGAAUUGUCCUUACAAAACUGAUCCACCCAACCAAACUUGCAUCCUCAAAAAGAGAUAUAUUAACCCUUUUUCCAUAAAGUUCAACCACGACAAUAAAAAAGGCUCAAGCCAAAACACUUAUCCAGGUGCAAUUCAGUGUCAAACAUGGUUGACUGAACUAUAGAAUCUUGUUUCGUUUUAGCAUAUAGUUCAGUUAUGUGAAGCUUGGCUGGUAUUGGCAUUCACGAUAACUUUAUGAUGAUGGUGUGAGGUAACAUAUUUUAAUUUAAACAAGGAAUCAAGAUUUUCUUUGGUAACAAUAAUAAUCUUGUAUCUCCCAUGACUAUUAUUUAAACGAUCCUUCCUAUUAUAAAAAUGAAGAAAUUAACUGCAUUACCUUUGUUAACAUUAUUACAAUAAAACUAUUUUCUGCAACUUUAUUUUCCUCCAGUGUUGAGCUAUCUUUAAGGACUUUCCCUUGAUGGAUAAGCAUCUGCUGUGCUGCAGGGUAAACAUCAGCACCCUGAACAGUUUCUAUGUUUUUCUUCACAUCAGCAACCUAAUAAACAACAAAAAUCAGUUUCCGUAAUAAAAAAGGAAGAAGGUAUAUUUGCAAAAAAAAUAAUAGUUAGAUGCUUAACGCACUGCCCAAGGGAGAAGGUUGAAGGACAGUGGGUUGACAAGACGCAAAUUACAAACCCAAUUGCUCGUUCAAGAGAUAGUUAGAUGCUUAAUUAUAGAGGAGGCAUUUGCUUCAGGUAGAAAAAUAAUUUCAUCUUUACUCUCUAGAAACAUGUGUGAAAAAGUAUUUGCAAAAAAUAGCAAGUAGUUCCACAAGAGUGCAAAAAGGAGAAAAGUUAGGCACAAAUGUGAAGUGCUUCGCAUGGAGUGGCUACAAUUUUUUGAAAUACUACAAUGGGAUUGAAUCACUUUACAACGUGAUUACUUAAUUUUACAACGUGAUUACUUAAAGGAUCAGUUUAAAGGAAAACUACAAUAGAGAUAGUAUUUUAUUGCUGGGCCACAUAAUUUCAUCACUACAGUCUGACCAGUCAUUGAAAGACCAAGAAGAGAUAAUAAAAUGUUAAAAAAUAUAGAAAAACAAAUAAAGUAUCAAGAAACUAAUUAUCACAAAAGAAAUUGUGCUUAGAGCAAGAGAAAGAUAGGUUGGCUUUGGUUUUGAUGUGAUCAACAGAAAGCAGUAAGAGACGUCUAGCUUACUGUACUAACAUAUUUAUUUAGAGUUGCACGAAUGUUAUGUUUAUACUCAAAUUAGACUUAUAGGAAUAGUUCAGAAGUGUAUUUAAAUUUCAGUUUCUUAGUGUUCUCAAAGUUCCUCAACGAUGCUCCUUGUUUAAAACAUUAAAUACAUUUCAGGUUUUUAGUUUACUUAUGAUUAGUAGGGGAUUGAUAUACCAUCCUUCCUUUCCUUUAUUGAAUAUCUGAAUUAGAACUGAAACAAUUCUUAUCCAUUCAAAGGUUCUCUCCUACGUUCACUCAAUCAAUCAGAUUUUCUCCCUGCCUUCUUUUUCUUCCUUAUUGCUUCGAAUUUAAUAUAUCAUUCAUAAAAUACAAGCAGCGAGAUCAAUUCUGGUCCAAGUCCCCUGACAACAGUUGGGAAAUGAGUUGUAUGAUUGAAUUAACAGGCACGCAAGUGUUGCAUUAACUACGCAACUCAAUGCUAAGAACGACAACGACAACAAUCUAAACCUCCAGUAGCAAAAACUCCUUAAUAUUUGCAAGAAAAGAAAAACAUGAAACAAAAUAAACAUUUUAGAAUUAGUGCAGUGACGAUGAUGAGCAAGAUUCAAAUUCCAAAUCACAGUACAAAUUUAAUCACACAAGAAACAACAAUUCAACAACCAUCACAUAAACCCUAAUUACACUUCAAUUCGAAGUAAUUACCACAGACCGAAAUCCAAAACCUAGUUGGAGAGCCUCGAUUCCGAGCCAAGGUCUUAAUGCGAAGGAUUCAAAACGAAAAAAAGAAAAGCAAAACUAAAGCCGAUGAAGAUAGCAAACUGACCGUAUCUGCAGGCUGAACUUCGAUUUCGAAGUGUGAGCCCUUGAGAGUCUUGACAAAAAUCUUCAUCUUCGAAAAUUGAUCGCUGCCUUCGCGAAGAUGCAAGACCACAGCAGCAGGUCCGACGUCGGAAUCGAGAGAAUUAUGCUAAUACCCUAGAACGAGCAAAGGAUUCGAACGACGGUAACCGAAAGCGCAAGUAAAGAGAGCAAGAAGGAUUGGAUCAGAAUUCCGUGGUUUUAUAUAAGAGGUUAAAAGUUAUAACUACGCGCUAUUUGGCGCGUUAAGAAAACGCUCUUAAAUGAUUUUGGUGGGAUGUUGAGAUAAAAAGGCGCGUGGGAGAGCGAGUGAUGGAAGAGUUUGUGGUUAUAGGUAGAUGAUGAUAGCUGGAAAAAUGAGUAGAUUUUUGCAUUUGUGUAUCCGACGUGGCCUUCGACUUCGAAGUGUGCGUAUUCCGAAGUAUGAUAUCACCGCUUGAUUCGUUGGAUUAUGUUUAUCCCAUCAAUUUAGUGCCAAUUUUACUUCUUUCUUUUCCCUUAUUGGAACUACACACAAAUGGUUUUGAGAAAGUGUCUAGAGCUCGAUAGCUCGAUACUUCGGUUAGGUUACAUUAUAAUAACUCACUCCACAUUUGAACAAUUAAUUAUUUUAACAAUUCAUUCUUAUUAUAGUAAAACAUUCUUCAAUUUAAUAGUUAAAAUGAUCAAUUAUUUAUCUCUCAAAAGUUUUAAUGACUGCAUUUAUUUUGACCGUCAAUUUCAACAAAUAAUUCUAACAAAAAAAUUUACCUUUAAUGCUCCUACUUGCGACUUGUUUAAUUGUUUUUUUUAGAGUAAUCCUUUGGUAAAACACCUAUAACAAUUGAUAUAUAUAGUUUGUUUUACGAAUUUAUUUGAGGUUUGAAGUGAGAGUUGUGUAUUUGCAUAUUAAAAAAAAGUUCAUAAAAUUUGAAUUAGAAAAUAAAAUCUAACUCCAUUAAUUCUCUAUGCUUAUUCACUUUUUAAUUCAAUUAAAGUAGUAUAACAACUUCGUUCACCAAGAAACACACUCGAUUAACCACUCAACUUAAAUAGUUUAUUACGGUAUUCUACAAUCAAUCUCUGUACAUCUCUAAUACAUAGUUCGUUUACUUUGUCAAUGCUAAAAAUUAUAGUAUAAUCUCACGUAUUUUGGGAUAUCCGUGAUAUUAAGCAUAUAUUGCGUAACUAUUCUAUAUGACUUUUUUAAAGGUAUGAUAUCUAAGAGAGCACAUUAUUUUGCAUAAAAACAAUAGAAUUUAAAAAGAACUAAGAAGAACUACAAUCUUACCCAAAUUAACAAUAACUCAAAUACAUGAAUCCUAAACUAUACUAAAAUAAGAUGCAUCCAUCACGUAAACACUAAAUUUAUAAACCCAUACUAUAAUAAAUUGCACCAAAAAUAUAGAUUAAACCCUAAAUCUAAAAUGAAUGUGAAUGUUAAUUAAAGAAAUGAAGAUGUGGCUCAAUAAAAGCAAAUGUGUGUACGUAGAUAUUGAUCGGCAUUAUUGGGGUGCUGAUUUUGUUGGGCAAAAGAGUUGCUGAACCAAAAUCCAAGUGAUCAUCAAGAUGGGCUUUGAAAACUAACGGCCCACGUCGAAAUAAUAACAAUAAUUGGUUUAUUCGAAUUAUGCUAACAUUAUGAACUAAAUAAGUUAUAAAUUGGCAAAUAAAAAAAAAAUCAUAUAUUUUUGUAGGAACAGUGUAAAUCGACAAUAAACAAUCAAUCACGUAAAAUAAUUUUUUUAGUAGUAAUAAAGUGCAAGAAAUUGUGUGUUUAGAAGAUAUUUUUAAAUGUUUAAUUUAAAAAAUAAAUUGGAAGGUUUAGUAUAGUUUUUGAGGUUUAUUUUAAAUAUUUGUUAUCAAAUAAACUAAAUAAAAGUGUGUGUGUGUGUUUUUAUAAAAUUCAAUUCAAACGUAUCUAAACAUCACGUUGAUUUGCUUGCUUUUGACAAAAUAAAAUAAAAAGUAUCCAUAAUAAACAUUUAAACUACAUGAUUUAGCCCUUUCAAAAUUGUUCAAUUAUUAGCCUAAUCUUUUGGAUCUUAUAUAUAGUGAAAAUGGCAAAAUUAGAGAUUAAAAAAUAUUUACUUUCAAAACAAUGAAAUUUGUCUUUAAUAUAUUUUUUAGGAAGGGUUAAUAGUUUUUUUUUUUUUUUUUUUUUUGUUAAUUUUUUAAAAAACCCCGUUUAUUUAUUUAUUAGUUAUAAGAAACAUCAAUGUUAUCAACAUUUUAUUAAUUCUUCCAUUGACAAUUUAUCUGAAAUUAGAACUUCAAAUAUUUGCUAUUAUUGAAAUGAAUGGAUUCAAGUUCAAACUUCUAUUUAUUUGAAAUUAACGAGUUUUCUUUGACUAAAGAAAAAUAAGAGAAACAAAAAUAUAUUAAUUCCACGUGUAAAAUAAAAAUUUUGAAAGAUAGAUGAUGGUACCUUCAACACAAAUCAACUAUUAUUGAGUUAAACUCAUAUUAGUUUAAAAUUACUUUUCAAACAAAAUAAUGAAAAACGAUUUGAUUUGAACAAAGUGUAUUAGAGUUGUGAACUAGUAGAACACUCGUAACAAAAUAGAAAAUAUAAAAUAUAAGAACUAUGUUUUCCCACCAGUGAAACCCACAGAGUUUUAAGAAAGAAAUAAACCUCACAUCUCUGCAAAGAGAAAUAAACCUCACAUCUCUGCAAAGAGAAAUAAACCUCACAUCUCAUACUUUCAUAAUGGACCGUAGAUUAACAUAGUUAUUUGUUAAUAUCAUAUAGACAGACGAUAUUCUCACAAAGAUCUUUACGAUCAACAACCCUUUCCAUACGUAUAUGAAAUUGAACCUAAACUUUAUGCCUAGAUCGCACACACUACCACGAUUCGUAGCACUAAUACAAGAGCCAUCUCCAUGGCCAUGUUUACACGUGAGAAGAAAAACACAAUGACACCACCAUAGGAAUGAAUGACAAUCUACCAUCUUUGUGAAGGCCAAACGCAAAGCGCAGAAGCUUAUGCGAAUGGGUCAUCCAUAAGAACAUUAAAAAAAAAAGAAGAAAUUAUUUUAUAUUUGAAUUGUAAAUAAAACUAAUUUUGGUGGCCGUCUUUAUUCCGUUAACUCCUCACUCGUCGAUGUUAAUUUUCUUUAUGAAAAAAAAAAUAAAAAUAAAAAUUAUCGGGCGGAGAAUCUGAAGUUAUGAACGGAGGCGAGGGAGAGUAGGGAAACGCAAAAUGAUUUUCAAGAAUUCACACAUAAACCAUAAGGCAUAAACAAGAACUGAAAAGAAAAAUUAGAAUUCCACUGUAUUAAAUCAUGUGUAUUCGAAGUUGAAAGAAAGAAAAAACGAACCAAUUCCUAUAUUCAUCAGCACCAUCUGUAUCAACCUAGUCCUACCCUCCAACAAAUCUAAACCAAAAACAUUUACAGAUCGACGUUUCUACCUACUGCGCCGGCAGAGAUUCUUGCCGCCAAAGAAAAUCAGAGUUAUCCGACGCGUCAAAGCACAGAUUCGAAUACUCCAACAGCCCAUCAAACGCCACAUACUCCGCCGUAUCACUGCCGCUGUAUACAUCUCCGCCUUCCAGUUCGAAAGCGUCGUAGUUCGGGAUCUGAUCCACAAACCUCCACAUCUCACCGAUGUCAGACGAAUCAGUCGAUAUUCGAGCAAAAUCCUGUUGGCUAUUGGAAGGCGGGAGACCGAGCUCGUCGUCAGAGGCUUCCAAGAGGUAACCUAACUCCGGUUGAGAAUCAGCGGAAUCCGCCGUCAAAUCCACAACCGGCACCGGAGAAGAAGAUGCGGUAGCGAUUUCUUCCUCAAAGCUUCUCAUCAACGAAUCGAGAUCCUGAGUGGGUGGUUCAGGAUCGGAAUCGUCGAAGAAACCUAGAAGGUCGUCUCUGAGCCGCUUCACCUCGGGCGAACCGGUUUCGGACUCGGCCGAGUCGUCCCGAUCCCGCUUCUUGGAGUUUUGAUUCUCCAUGAGAAAAAAAGAAAAAAGAAAAAGAAGAAAGAAUUAGGGUUUCUUUUUUUUGUUUUUAUAUAUAAUAUUGUAAUGUGUUUGUUUAAGUUUGAAGGGAUAGACGCGAUAAAGAACGUGAGACAAUUUGAGCGGGGAAUGAAGGGGUGGGUAUUUAUAUAAGGGGGGACAAGGUAGGGAGAAGGUAGAAGGCGCGUGGAUAGUGAUGUGAAAUAAUCGCGUGGUAGUGUUUUGAAUAUGCUAUCUUCUUCCUGUUUUUAUUUAUUUGAUUAUAUUAAAUUUCGUUUAUCUCUUAUCCCUAAAAAAGAAAAUUGUUUUCUACGGAAAAUUCUACCCACCUCCUUUUCAUUUUCGUGACUUUGUCCGGUUUCAGUUUUGGAAUGAGGGAAAACAAAUUAAUUGAUUUCAAUUCCAUUUACAAAUCCGCAACAGUGGGGCCCGCUUUCUGAGUCAAUGACGGAUCCGUUUCUCUUUAAAUUCUUGGCUCGGCUCGGCUCCCCCUUUCUGGGGCUGCUUUCAAAUUAUUGGUCGGAGAAAAACUCUUUUUUAUAUUUUGGAUUUCUUUUUCUUUUUUUUUUUUGUCAAGUCUGGAUCUUACUUCAAAUUAGUAUAACUUUUAGGGCGUUUUUUAUUUUUAAAUGUUUAAAAUUAUAGAUAUAGGAAAUAAUAGGUGUCCAACAUGUUUUUGUUAUUGUAUUUAUUUUUUAAAUUUUUAUAAAUAUCUUAUUCUUCCAUUAACAAAAUAAAAGAAUUUAUAAUAUUUUUCUAAAUUUCAAGUUUAUCAUGUUAAUGCUGAUGACUUUUUAAUUCUUUUUUUAUCCUUUAUGAUUUAUUAAUUUUCUUUUAUAAUAUUACAUCUUCUUUAUUUUAUAAUAUUAUUAUUAUUUAUAUAAAUAUUUACUAAUCUCUUCAUUUUUUUCUCAAAUUAUAUUGUCCUCUUCAUUUUUUAUUUUUUUAUUCUUCUUAGUACAAUAUCUAAAUGAUAUUGAUAUAAGAUCUAAAUGAUAAUUUGUCUAUUUCAAUAGAUAGAGACAAAUCACUAUUACUAAUAAAUCAUUUUGAUUUGGUAUAAAAUCGUUUAUAUUUGAUACAAUUAUACAAUAUCGUUUAAACUUGCCACGAGAUCAUUGCUAGGAAAUCGUUGAGAUUAGGUGAAAUCAUUUUUUCAUACAUAUGUGACUGAUUAAUCGUGAUUAUAUUUUUGUUAUUUUAAGGUGAGGACUUGUGAACUUUUUCUUUUAAAAAUAGUUUUAGAAUAUCAUUUUGUUGUGAUCUUUAAAGUUAUGUUUAUUUUGUAGGAAUAUAUUUUUAAAUAUUUGAGAUAGUUUUACUGUUGCGUUUGUUUCACAUUAUUUCCGAUUAUAAAAAUAAAUAGAAACCAGAUAAAAGUUAUUUUUUCCUCUCCUCUCCUCUCCUCCCUUCUUUUUUACUUAAUUAUUAUUUUAACAAAUUUAAAAUAAUAGUAAAAAAUACUCACAGAUCUUUACAACCAAAUGGCAAAUAUAUUUAUUGGAAAAAACAAAUUUAUUCAAUUGAAAUCGCUUUUACAUAUGGGGAAGAGGGUAUUUUGGUAGUUUCAAUCUCCUUUGCUUUUGGUCAAAGGUUUAGACAAACAAUUGGAAUUAGAAUAUCCAUAUUAUAUAGUUUUAUUUUCCUCUUUCCUUUUGUGAACUACAUAAUGUGGAUUUGAUAUGAAGCCACUUGCCACUUUUUUAUUUAUUAUUUUCAAGAAAAAACAUCAUGGGUCUACUGUUUUUAAGUAUUAUAUUAUGCAUAAUGUGGAAAGUCUUGCUAGAUUUCUUUAUUUACAAAGAAUAUUGUUAUAUAAUAAAAACUAUAAACCCUUCCCCAAUCUAACCUCUCUUCCCUUUUUUCUUGAUCUAAUAAUAAAAUAACAUUUCUUCGACUCUCGAUCUUUCUAAAUUUAUUUGAUGGCCGUCCUUCACCCUUAAGAAUAUAUUGUUGUACUUUUAACUAUCUAAAGUUUUAUAUUUUUCUCGUGCCACCUUAAGUGUCCACCUAAUCUAUUUAGUUCAAUACAUCUUCAUCUCCAUACAUUAACAUAUAAUAAGCUUAAAAAAAAAAGAAGGUACGUGUCUAAAAGACCACCGCAAGCAUGAUUAAUAUUUUAAGUGAAAUUAAUAUAAAAUAAGUCUAUGUGAGUUUGUUUUGGUGAUAUCAACGUUUUUGUCUCAAAUAUUUUGAUCUCUCAAACAGUUUUAAUAAUCAUUCCAUCUAAUUAAAUCCAAACAACUAAUUGGUAAAAGUUAUAUUUCAUAAAAAGAUUUAGUUUAUGUACUUGAAAUUGGGUGCCCGCUAAUGGAAUGUGUAUGUAAUCUAAAUAUAUAUUUGGAUUAUAUAUAUUUUUUAAUACAUUUGUAAUAUAAAAUUUAUUUUAUUUGGAAUGUGUAUGUAAUCUAAAAAUAUAUUUGGAUUAUAUAUUUUUUUAAUACAUUUGUAAUCUAAAAUUUAUUUUAUUAAGAUAGUUUUCAAUCAAACUCCUUUUUUUUAAUCACUUCCGGGUUGUGUUUAACUAAUUAUACUUUCGAAAACUUGUUUAAUUUAUAGUAAUUUGGAUUUUGUAGUUGGUAUAAGGUAUCUAAAUAGUAGGGUGAUAAUUUAUAGAUAGAUAAAGGAAAAAUAAAAUAUGUUUGAAUAAUGAAUGGGGGUGGGAAAACGUAGGGUAGUGGGUACCUAAAGAUGUGGGGCAAAGUAAGCAAUGAAUAAGGUAUUGAGUUGGAGUUUGUCCAAAACAGGACGAAUUGGGAAGGCAAUUAUCAAAGUGAUUGAUUGUGCACUUUUCUAGAAAAUCUUCAAAUGGGCGAUGACGUGUAUGCCCACUUCACCUUUAAAAAAUAAAAGGGAGAAUAUCUUCCAAAGGUAGAAAAUCUUGUGGUAGGGCCAACCAAUUGGAUUUUAUUUUAGAAAAUUGAAAAGAAAAAAGAGGAAGAAAUAAUUAAAAACACACCCAUAUCAAGAAUCCCUUUUUUCCCCUUGUGUAGCAACCCAUAAAAAGCAAAUAAAUAAAUAAAUAAAAGGACAGAUUUAAACACAAUAUUUUUCUUUUGUACUUGGAAUUGUGUGGAACCCGAGGAAACUAUUUUUCAGAGGCUUUUAUUUGACUAAUAUACAUAUAUAUAUAAUUUAUCGUGACAUAAAAGAAAAUUAGCCAAAUUCCUUUUUAUUGACUUUCUAGAAUUGUAAUUUGAGGCAUGUUAUCUCCUUUCCCACCGCUUGCCAUUUUGAAUAUAUAUAAGUUUCGACGUAGAGGUUAACUUUUCUCACGUGACCUUCGUUUCAAAGGAUUGGAGGUUUGAUCUCCUGUUAUCCUAACGUAAUGUAACCAAAUUUGUUUUAAAAGAUAAAUACAAGUUUUGAAUAUAUUAAUUUUAUUAUGUUUUUGUUUAUUGUUACCCAUAUUCAUGAGUAUAUAUCUAAACUAAUUGAAUUUAUUUUUUUAAUACUUACUUGAAUUAUAUUUAAAUAAUAAAAUUCGCUAAUAUUUUGAGAUUUUUUCAAGAAUAAUAAAAAUAAUAUAAGUUAAUUAUAUUUUACAGCAAAAAAAAACCACAAAAAUGACAAAAUCUCAUCCUCCCUCAUUUUAUGCGUAAAUAGUUGAUUUAUUUUAUUAUUUUAAAUAAUUUUUAUUAGUGAUAAAAUGUGUCGGUAAUUCUUUUGUUAUUAAGUAUCAUGCAUAAUUAUUUUAAGAGAAAUUGUUAUAUCUAUAAAAUAUAGUAAUUUUUUUAUAAGUUUUAUGAUAGUUGAAUAGCAAGAAAUUAACGAUAUAAAAGUAAAAAACUUUAAUGUUUAAUAUUAUAUUUUGUGUUUUUUUAGUCAACAAAUAUUUUAUUUAGUACAUACAUAUUCUCUUAGUCCAACCAAACUUGAGUAAGAAAUUCCAAGUUAAUAAAUUUAGCGCAUAGCCAAAUUUGGUAAUUUACGUAAUUCCCAUAAAAUAAAUUGUAACUCUCCCUUUACUAAUAAUAAUAAUAACAAUAAACAACUUACCAAUUUAAGUAGAGAACCUCCAUGGUUGUGUCUAUUAAAAAAAUAUAUAACCAUUCAAUUUUGAAGUUUGAAUAUACACAUAUGGUUUGUUCAAGAGGUUAGAUUAUUUCAAAGUAAAGAAAACGUUAAAGUAUUAAUUUUGUUACGUUAUUUAAAAUAUAUACUAAAAUUGAUUAAAUAAGAAGGAUAAUUUGUAUGCAAGAAAAUGAAAAUUGUGAAUAUAUUUUGAAGACUUACAAGUUGAGAAUGAAAGGGAAAGAGAUCAGAUCAGAUUAGAUUAGGUUGAGUUUGAAAGGAAAGUUAGGGAUUAGGGUUCGUGUGAGUUUGAUAUGGGCGGGAGGGAAAAUAAUUGAAAAGGAAGAUAGAGUGGUUGGCAUAGUCACGUGAUUUGAAACGGAGAAAUGAAUGAAGAUUUUGAGUCUCUCAACUCUCGAGGCCUCAAGUCUCAACCACCCACUCCUCUCCCCAAAAUCUAAACUCCUUCUCCCUAAAAAAUAUCAGCAAGUGGCCGACACCCUCAAUCCAUCCCUUCCCAACACUUUAGUUUUUCCAUGUUUUUCUUUCCUUUUCAUUUCUACAUAACAAUAAAUUAUUUCUACUUCCCUACCCCACUAACAAUCAACCCUCAUCUUCUUUAUCCUCACUUAUCUUCAACCUAUCUAACAUGUUGUACCUAAUCACAUACUCUUUAUAUAUAUAUAUACAUUAUUUCAAAACGUUUCAAUAAUUGUUUGAAUUCAGGAUCUUCGAUAGACACGUGUCAGUUGAACUAAACUCAUGUUGAUCGGUUGUUAUAGUUUUUAGUAUUUGACAUUCACUAUUAUUUUCUUAUAUGUUAAUGUAUUGACUAUUUUCUUCUCAAACUAAAAUACUCUGCACUACAAACACAUACUAUUAUAACUCAAACUAAAAUAAUCUACGUCUCAAACACGAAUUAUUAUAACUCAAUUAUAAUAAUUGUCAACUAUUUCCUUCAAACAUCUUCCAAAUCUUUGAAUUUGUGUUUUGUUUUUUAGUUACUUAAUAAGUUUAAUACACACAUUUGGGUUUUUUGUUUGAGUGGACAUGGGAAUCUUUUUUUUGAACAAAAUAUAAAAUAUUAUAGACAUAAAUAGGUUAUACAAAUUCUAAUAUAGUUUUCAAAUAAGGGUUGUUAUAAGUUAUAAUUUUCAAACAAUAAUAUCUAAUUUCAGACUUUGGAAGUUUGAAACUAGAUUUUAUGUCUAAUGAUUAAAAAAAAAAAAAAAACCCUAACUUUUAUAAAAUAACAAAGAUAUAUUGAAGUUCUACUUUUACACAUUUAUUAAGCAGGACAUUAAAAAUUGAAGACUUGACGUGGAAAGGUAACCUUAAAACAAAAACAAAAAAUAAUUAAAUUUUGUCCUUCCUUUUUAUUUUUAUUUUUAUUUUUUGAAUAAAGUAUGUAGGAGAGAUAUGUAAACAAAUAUAUAUAAAAGUAAAAUAAAUGUGUUAGUUUUGUUUAUUUAAAUAAUAAUAAUUGGGUAGAAAGAAAAUGGAAGAAAGAAGGAGGUAGUCGGCUCCGUGUCUAAUCAUGUCGACGAAUUAUUUAAAAAUGGUAAUGUUUUUAAAUAAAAUACUAAACAAAAAACAAAAGGAGACACGUAACUUUAAUUUUAAUCAAUCAAGUAGGGUGGCACCUUAAAUGACGUACGCCCUCAUUUCAUUUUGUUUUAAAUUCUUCCUUCUUUCUUCCUUUCACACCAAAAAUUUCCAUAUUUCUUUCCUAUUUUUAAAAGACCAAACUUGUAUAUUUUACUUAUUUAAUUAUAUUUUUUCUACAUUUUAAUAUUUCGAAUUUGAUGGUUUUUCCCUCUCUCCGUUAAUCUUUUGUAUAUGUAUUUAAUAUUUUUAAAUCUGUUAAUGUUUUUUUCUUCUCUUAAUUUUUCAUAAUUAUAUGUUCAUUAUAAAUUUUUAGUUUUGUUUUAUAUUUAUCUAUAUUUAUUUUAUAUUUUAUAUUCAUAAUGUUUGAUUUAAUAUUAAAUUCAAAGAAUUGAAUAGGUAAAUUUGUGUUAUUUUUCCAUAAACAAAAACAGUUAUCAAAUAAGCCUUAAACCAACUUAUUUUAAAUUGGUAUAAAUAAAUGUUUGUUUUACAAAUAAUUUUAAUUGAUAUAUUUUAUAUAAAAAAAUCCUACUAUCUUAAAAUAAUUUCAAAACAUGGAAGGAAAGGAAGUAUGUAAUAAAUGAGUGUUGAAUUAAACACACUACCUAAAUUAAACUAUCAAUGAUAUAGAGUGUCUUCAAAUCACAUAGAUCUUUUUUUUUUUUUUUUGCGCUUAUUUAUUUAUUUAAAUUAUAGAUAAUUUUAUCAUCGUCGCCUAUAAAUUAGGUAUGAGGAAAAGAAACACAAUUUUGUUAAUUAAAACAAUUGAUUUUCGGACUUGUCUUAUUUGAUUUGACACCAAUGAUGUGAAUUAUUCACAUAAUAUAGUUUAGGUUAACAGUUUAAAGGUAAGGUAUUUUAAAAAGGAAGGAAAUGGAUAGGAUUGUUCUAAAAAUGAAAUAAAUGGAUGAGAAGAGAAGGAAGGAGGAAGGUGUAAAUGGAAAUGAAUGGUGAGGCAUAACAAACCCAAACCGAAGGCCGCGGUUCGGCUUUACCUAUCCCCCACGUUUCCACGUUGCUUAGUCAUCACGCUUUGCUUAGCAAAUGUGGUGUGACCCGUUAAAUUUGUGUGACCGUUUCCCUGCCCGUUACGGCCGUCCAUUCCGUCCCUUCCGCCUCCCCCUCAUCCAUUUGUCCUCUUUUUAUUCAGAGUAGUGAUCAAAAUUUCAAAGUUUGCAUUUAAAAAUUUGAACUAAUUUUUAAUUAUCUAAACAAACAAAUACCUUGUAUUAUGGCAUGUUAUUAAAUUUAGCAUCUAUACUUUUAACUUAUUUAUAGACCCAAAUUAACAAUAUAAAAAAAUUUAGAAAAAAAUCGUUUAUAACACAUAAAAUAUAUUACAAAUAUGAUAAAUAAUUAUAUAAAAUAUAUUACAAAUAUGAUAAGUAAUUAUAUUAAAAAGUCAUUAGAUGAAUAUUAAAGGACUAUUUGUUUUUAAAUUUGUUAUUUUUCUAAUUUAUAAUAUUUAACGACAUAAACUUUGUUUUCAUAAAUUUUUAUUUGUUAUUUUUGCGAACAUUCCAAUAAAUAAUUAGGAGUGUUAAAAAAAUUGACAACUCGACCAAUCUAGAUUAUCCAUUUCAUAAAUUUUUGCGUUAGGUUGAGUUGUGUUAGAAAAUUGAAAAAAAAUUGACUCGGUAGUCGAGUUGUGCUAGUAAACCUAAAACUAAAAGUAAACCUCUUUUUAAAUGAACACAAAAUUAAAUUUUGAAUUCAUAACAUAUAUUCGUCAUGUUCCACCUUAAAUGACAAUUUGUUUACCUUGCAUAUUAAAAAGCAAUAUGAAAAUUUGUCUAAAUGUUGGAGAGAUAAAAAAAAAAACCAACCCACCAAUUCAAGCUGAAUUUUUUGUGUUAGAUUGGAUUGGGUUGAGCCAUAUUCAAAUGUUAUAAGGGUUAAUAAUUUGGAUUAGUUCAUCUUUUUUUCUUGCCAACUCCAAUAAUUUGGAUGAGUUCAUUUAAUUAUUGGUAAAUAUUAAAAUGUUUUGCAAUUUAAACCAAAAUUUUGUUUUCUAUACUUAUCAUAACUCAAACAAAGACGUGUAAUCGAAAAGUUGUGUUCUGUCUAUAAUCUAAAAAUGGUAGAAAAUAUAGGGGUAAAAGAUGGAACAAAAGAUUAUUAAUUCUACAUUGCUAUAUCAUUAAAUAUUGUAAAUGUUAUUUUACUUCCAUGGUCAUCAUUUGCUACUCCACAACUUCAAAAUAAAUAACCUCUUACAAAUUUAAUUGACUUAUUCUAUAGAAUUAUAAAUUUUUAAAUACCAAAUUGCAAGACAAAAGCAAUACAAAGUUAAGUCAAAUUCUAGAUGUGGUUUUUCCCACUCACAAAUUUUGUCUUCCUUUCACGUUAUCUUCUAGACCACAUUUAAUUUUAUUCUUAUGACCUAAGUUUUCCCAAUUUGACUUUUUUUUAUAUUUUUUAUUUUUCAAUGGCAGAAAAAGAAAAAAAAAAGGAGGGAGACAAAUUAGAUGUUUAUAGUUGACAAAUAUUCAUAUGUGUAAUUACUUUUCCCUUUCUGUUUUUUGGUCCAUAGGGGUAAGAGUCUAAUCUCUUUCGACUAGUUUAUUAUUUAAUCAAUAAAUGAUAAAAAAAAAAACAUUCAAUAAUCAUAGUUUAAUUGACGUGUAAGUGUUAGUAAAUGUGAAAGAAGAUGAAGACACCAUUUUCUAAUUUUUCAUAAUUUGUAUUUUAUUAAUUUUAGUACUGAAUUAUAAUUUAAAUAAAAUGCAUGUAACAAAAUAUCUAGUAUAUCAACUUCUCACACUUGUGUCAAAUAAGAAUUAAUUCAACUAAACUCAGUAUCAAAAUUGGGUUUAACAGAUUUAUUUGAUAUGAAAUCAAGAGUUUAAUAGAUAAAAGCUUUAACUUUCUAUAUUUAAUAAAUAGUCAAACUAAAAAGAAAAUAACAUGUUUUAAAUACUAAAUAUCUAAUGGAUAAAAAAUCAAAAUUUUAAACUUCUACUUGAGAACUCCAAAAAUGAAAAUUUAAAGACUUAAUAAACAUUUAACAUAGAAGUUCACACCCUACUGAUGAAACUGACAUAAUUAAAUAAGUUGAAUGAAACUAAAACAUUAUACUCAUGGUGGGGGACUUUAAUCUAUAGUGAUAUCACUGUGGGAUGGCUUCUUAUUCCAAGAGUAAUGUACCCAAAAAAUGUUUCUCAAACAUAAAUGCAAUCAAAUCAUACUAAUACUAAACAAGUUCCUUACCCACUAUUUCUCAAUAAAUAGAAAGAACAGAAGGUGGAAGAAACCCAGGACAACUUUGGAAACUUUGUUAUCAAAUCUACUUUUUAUUUUUUAGAAUGAGGGGUGGUGUUUAUGUGUGUAAUUUUUAAAAACUAAAUGAGUAUCAAACUAAACCUUUAUUUUCUCACCGUUUCUUAUGAUGAUUAACCGAAUAGGUAGCAAACUUGAGAGAAUUGGAGUCGACUUUUGCCUAAAGUUAUAUGCCUAUAGAAGUAGUGGAUGUCAUUAAUCAAUCUCAAUCAAACCUAAAGGCUGUGGAUAUUUGACUUUUAAUAAUCCACAUUUUCGGCAUUUAAAUUCCAUUUUUGUUUUUCUUUUAUGGAAUUUAAAUUCCCGAAUUAAUACUUUGCUUCCGGAAAAAACAGAUUGAAUAAAGCAAAAGAAAACAAUAUAAUUCUUUUGAAGUUUUAAAUUUAUGUAAUUGUUCUACAACAUUACUAAAUCUAUCUAUUAAAAACGAUGUUUGAUUAAUCCAAUAUCAAAUUAAAAAUUUACAAAUUUACAAAAAGUUUUAAAAAUUGUUUCUUAAUUUAUUUGGUAGAGUCCAUACCAUAUAUAUAUAAAUAUAUCAAAUAUACGUAAAUCUAAAAGGUUAAAGAAGUUAAUUUGUAAUUAAAUAAAACACUCGUACUUUUCAAAUUCCUUAAUAAUAUUCUUUACUUCAUGUACUUGAAGAGUUUUUUUCCUUUUUAGUUUUGAAUUCACGUAAUAUCCAAAAUAAGAUAAAGACCAAUUAAACGUAUAUCUAGCAAUUACUUUUCCAACCGAAGAUAUAUAGUAUUUAAAUUAUUCUCAGGAAUUAAUUCUAUUCAAUGGUUAAAACCUUUUUGCUUGAGUAAAAGAAAUUGUCUCUUAACAAAUCACAAGUUUUUUAAAUUAAGUUCUUAUAUAGUACUUUUGUUUUAAGUAUUCAGUUUUUGACUUAGUUUUGUAAAACAACCGGUAAAUAGUACAAUAGAUUUGGGAGUGGAAAUAUUGUCCAUAGGUAUUUUAUUUUUUUGGGCUAAUAUUCUAUAACUCACACCGACUUUUGUUGCGUUCUAAUUUUGGCGUAAUCUGAUAUAGAAGCAACAGAUAGACUGCCAAAUUGGUUAAAGAAAUAAAGCAAAAUAAACUACUAAAGAAAAGGGAAUAAAUAUAUCUUUUGACCUAAAAUUUGAUUCUAUCUCUUGUAGUACAAUUUAGGAACAUUUAAAUAUGGAAUCUCUCGUAGUACCAUCCAUGUUUUAAGUAAAUUUUAAAUCAACUAUCGUAAAUUGUUGGAUUUUAUGUCCCUUUAUUAUUAUUUUUUUGUUGGGGCCAAGAUUGAGAUAAUUUAAUAAGAUAGCUAAUAUUAGCUAAGGUUGAUUGGUCAUUGGAAUUUUGGAAUUGUCUCUCUUUCUUUCCUUUUACAUAUUUACAUAUUUGAUAAAAUAAAAUUGUUAUAGUUCGUAAACAUUUUAAUUUAUUUUGUUAUUUUUUAAAAAUGAUAAAAACUAAUUUAAAAGAUAAUUAGUGGACUCACAAUGGGGCUUUUCAUUAAUAGUUCAAUGGGCUUAUAGGAAGAGAUUGAUAACUCAAAUGCACUAACACGAAGCCUCGUCGUAUAAAAAUGGGCCUUCGUAUACAACAGAGCCCAUCAAUAAUAUGUGGCUUUUUGUUAUUUAUUUUUUAAGCUAAUUUUAUAACUAAAUAAAACUUUAAUUUAGUCCCUAAAAUAUAAACCAAGGUUUACCUUUUUUUUCCUUUUUUACAAUAAGAGUUGAGAUAUUUGAACACACAUAUAAGUUGGUUGAGUUAAACUUGCUUUUAACUCACUAAUUCACUUUCUACUUAAUCAAAUUCAACAAAUUAAACGUAAUAGAAAGUUUGGCCAAAAUCAAAUUAAUUAAAUGGAAUAAAAUAUCCACAUUUUAAACUGUUUGUCUGUUUUUUUUUUAAUGGUAUAUAUAUAAUAAUAAUAAUAAAAAAAAAAGAUAAACAAUCCACUGAUUUGAUAGGUCAUUUCCUCCACAAUUGCAAAGAAGAGAGCAAUUUAAUUUGGUUCUAAAUUUCCUUACUUUAGGUUAUGGUGUCAAGUCAGUCCUCCAUAUUGUUGGUUUAGUCCAUUCUCCAAUAGAAAAUAUAUCAUGACCAAUGAGACCGACCUAUUUUCUUUGUGAACAAGAAAGCUUUUUUUUUUUAAUUAUUCGUAAUUUUAUUUUAUUUUCUUCAGGUUACAGUUAUUACAUAUAGUUUGAUUUUUUUUAAAAAUUGUUUUUGUUUUCUUCGUUUUAUUAUUCGUAAUUUUCUUCAUAAGUAACCUAGGAUGAGGACAAAAAAACAAGUUUUUUAAAACUACUUUAAGUAGUUUUAAAAUUUUAUCAUUGAUUUUGAAAAGAAGAUGAUACUAAAUUGGGUAGUUGUCAAACUCCACUCUCAAUCUUAAGACGUGUUUGAAAGUUAUAAUUUUUCCACUACUACGACAGUGCUUGUUUAUACUCUAAAAUUGUCUUCACAUAUAUAUGUGAACUCCACGUUAUUGUUUAGUGAAUCCUACUUUAAUUUUAAAGUUAUAGCAAGGAAAACAAUAACUUGAUGUGUUUGAUCUAUAGUUAACAAAUGUAUUCAUUUACAAACAAAAAGUAAAUAUAAUUUAUAUUAAAAUGUCGUUUUAAACAUGUUUAUUGUUUUAUUAUAAUUUAAUCCUUAUAAUUUAAAAAAAUAAAAAUACCCUAUUAAUAAGUUAUUAUUAAUUCUUUAAAGACUAAAACAAGUAUAUGUGUUAUAAUGCAUGAUAAAAUUUGUUAUUAUUUAAAUAGAGACUAAAUUGAAAAUAUUAUAAGUCAAACUAAAAGGAAAUUUUAAAUACAUUGAGAAUAUAGCAUGUACAUAAGAAUGUAGUACUUGCAAUAACCCUAUCGAUUUUUUAAUAUCGUGUUUGAUUUCUCACAAUUUGUACUUAUAAUAACCCUUUUGAUUUUUGAAUAUCGUGUUUGAUAUCUCAUGAUUUAUUUAUUAGGGUAUUGUCUUUUAUAAUAAAAGUCUGAAGUAGUAGUAAACUAUGAUCGGUUUGGUUUGAUUCAGUAAGUAAUCUAAAAAUGUAUAAUGUAUGAUAGUACAAACCGUAACGAAUGAAGCAUUUUGAAAAGUAUCGUGAAUCAAUAAUAAUUUUAGACUAUAAACUAAUAAUAUUUAAUUGAUUACAAUAGUUUAAAAAUAGUUCUUACCUUGAAGGUAAAGUGUUGGUCAACAUCUCGAAAUGUUGACUGCCUCCCCAUGUGAGAAUUUUGUGUUCUACGAUAGAUUGAAAAAUCAACCUUUCAAUUUUCUUUCCUUUUGUAAGUUUAUGAAUAGUAUUGACGUUUAUGGAAGUUAACAUUGUUGUCAAAAAUUUCUGUGUUUUAUCUUCUUGUAUUUCUUCCCUAUUAUAUAUAUAUAAUCUCACAUGAAUUUAAAACAUGCAUAUACUACCAAUAUAAAAUAUUGGAUGCCGAUAUAAUGCUAAAUUUUGUCUAACUUAGAUGGUAAUGUCAAAAGGACAUACCUUAAAUUUGAAGAACCAAAAAUAGAACUUAAUUGUUAAAAGCAAAUCAUGUUCUUGGUUUCGGAAGAACACAGGGUGGAUCCGAAAAUAUGAAAUCAUCAAAACCAUUAACUCUUCUCACAUUCUUAGUUCCCACCAAUCCAGUAAUUAAAAUAACAUCCCAUUUCAUCCAUUCAUUCAAAAAAAAUUUCAAUAUAUAUAAAUAAAUAAUCUGGAUUGGGCCAGUCUUACCCGGAUCCGCAACCAAUUGUUCAUUCCCCUCCAUUAUCAAAGCCCCCGAUUUCCCAUCUCCCGUAAAUUUCUACUUUCGACAAGAAUCCGCGGCCGAAUCAACGCAAGAGGGCUUCCGAUUCUGCCUCUCUCUUGAUUUCCCUUCCGAUUCA